UUUUUUUUUUUUUUUUUUUUUUUAAGUUUUGAAAUUUUUUAUCUUUAAAAAUAUAAAAAUAUUAACUAUUAAAAUGCUAUUAUGGUUAUAAUAAAUUAAAAUUAAAAUUAAAAUGAAAAAUUAAUUUUUACACGAAUUUAAUUUAUAAAUAUAGAAAAAAAUUUGAAUAAAAGUUUAAAAAAUAUUUAGAAAGAAUUUUAAAAAUGAAAUUAAGUUUUUUUUAAAAAAAUAUUAUUUGGUUAAAGGGAAAACCAUAUAUUGUUUUAAAAAAUAUGGGCCUAAAUUUGUAGGCCCAGCACGGCUCGAUUGUUUGGGCCGGGCCGGGCAGGGUCGGGUCGAAUUCUAUAGUUUCCGUGCCGUGCCGAGGUCCCGCCCGUUUUACACCUCUAUAUAAUCGCGUUUGAGUAUAAAAAGGUGAUGAAAGACGGAUUAUACAGAUACAAGUCUGUUUCAUCAUCGAAAAUGACUUAGAAAUACAGAGGCCAGACAAUAUUUUAUUUUAAUCUUCAGUUGAAUGAUCAAAAUGAAAAAUUGGAAUAGUGGAGUUUACUCUAUUACUUUACCCUCAACACCACAUGGCACAACCUAUGUUGAUGAAGCAAAGGGAGUGAAAUAAACAAUUUAAUAAAAAAAUACUUAAAAGAAAAAUAUAAAAUGAUAUGGGAAAAGGAGGUGAAGGGUGUGAUGAUACAUAUAUGGACAAAUACAUGAGGCUCUUCUUUGGAUUUAUCCAUGCAAUGCCAAUUAAGCAUACAGCUGUACACUAGUCCUCAACUCUUCCAAACAUGUUCAUAAAAAUAAAUGAAUAAACAAAUAAAUAAAAAAUAAGAAAUUAAAAAACUUAAAAUAAUUAGGAUAUUUGAAGUAUCUAAAAAAUAAAUAACUUAAACAUAGACGGCUAAAAAUAAAAAUAUUAUAAAAAGUUAUGAUGUAAUACUAAAAUUUCAAUUAGAGAUAUUGAUCUUACUGUAAAUAGCAUAAAAAAUUUUCUAUCAAAAUUUCAUUUGAUUUAAAUACUUCUACACCGUUAAACAUAUAAACGGCACAAAUCAACUAUUAAAAAUUAUUGAUUUUUUAAAAAAAAUUAUAAAAUUUAUUUUUUAGAUAGUUCCAUCAUCGAAAAUGAUAUAGGAGAUGAAAGUCUCCGUAUUCCUAAUAGCACACAAGUUCUACUAUAUAUAUAUAUAUAUAUAGAGAGAGAGAGAGAGAGAGAGUUGAGCUAGAAUACUUUUAGAAGCACCACCCAUUUGGUGCUUCUAAGUUUCUAACCCUUGGAUCUACUCCAUAAUUACUAAUAUCCCUUGGAUCAAACAGUAUUCCACCUACCAUCACCUACCACCAUCAUCUCAACCUCACAUCUCUCCAUUCAAGGGUUAAAAACUCUAAAGCACCACGCACUUGCUGCUUUUGAGAGUAUUCUAGCUCCACCAUAUAUAUAUAUAUAUAUAUAUAUAUAUAUAUAUAUAUAUAAUAUAUAUAUAUAUAUAUAUAGAAUUAGCUGGAAUACUUUUAUAGUAAAAUGAUCUUUUUGCUAUCAAGUUUUUAACCCUUGGAUGAAAAUUGUAGGGUCAGGAUGAUAUUAGUCGGUUAGAGUUGAGUGGUCUCCCCUAGGGUGAGUGGUCCCACUGGGUUAUAGUAUUUAAUCCAAUGGUUAGAAAUAAUGAAAAGAGUUGAUCCAAAGGCUAAAAAACUUAGCAACAAUGGAAUUUUCUACUAAUAGUACCCCAGUCCAACUUCAUAUAUAUAUAUAUAUAUAUAUAUAUAUAUUAUAUAAUAUAGAAUAGGCUAAUAUACUAUUAAUAGCAAAAGUCAUUGGUGUACCAAGUUUUUGGUCAUUAGAUUAAGAGAUGUAUGGUUAGGAUGAUGUGGGCCCCCUAGGGUUGAGUGGGUGGUUGGUUGAUAGUAUGAUCUAACGACGAAAAUAUAUUUAUAUAUAUUAUAUAAUAUAUAUAUAUAUAUAUAUAUAUAAUAUAUAAUUAUAUAUAUAAUAUAUAUAUAUAUAUAUAUGCAUGCUGGAAUGCUUCUAAUAGCACCAAGUCAUUGGCGCUUUUAAGCUUUUGGCCUUUGAAUGGAGAAACAUGCUAUUAGGAUAAUAGAUGGUCUCUUAGGGUUGAGUAGGUGAUUGACUGAAUAAUAUAAUUUAAAGAAUAGAAUUAGUCAAAAUGAUAAAUUUAACAGCUAAAAAUUUGAUAGUACUAAUUAUUCGAUGCUAUUGAUAGUAUAAUAGCUGAACUCUCUAUAUAUAUAUAUAUAUAUAUAUAUAUAUAUAUGUCCAUGCUUAGGUGCUUAGAAAUGCGCAAUAUUUGUGAAAAGUUGAGAGACCAAAAUUUAGGGACCAAAACACAGCUCUGGUAUAGUGCAGGGGACUAUCAAUAUAUUUUACCCAAAGAAAUAUCUGUGAAUUCUGAUGAAAGGAGAGCCUCCCAUGUCCCAAUUUGCAAGAAACCACCAUUAAGAUCCAAAGAACUCACCGACCGUCCCUAAAGCAAGUGGCAAAAGAUUUGAUGGUUGAUAUCCGAAACCCAAGUUCGAAUCCUAAUUGAUUCAUAUUUUCAGCUAAGUUUAUUUUUAAAUGAAAUAAACGAAACGGAUAGCGUACUACUUAUCUCUCUCUAUAAAAAAAAAAAUUCCAAGGAACUCUCUUGACCCCUUCUCUUUGUGGGGCAGCAUAAUUUGUAGUUUACCCCCACAAAACAUUAAAAAAACUAACUUGAUUUUAUGAAAUUUUCUACCAGUGAAUCUAUGAGUUCUCUCACUAGUAAAGCUUCUGCAGCAAGUGCUUUUGGAGGAAGUACCACUAUUAUCAGUAAAGCAAUUGGCCUUAUUAUGUAAUAAGGUAAUUAUUUUGAAUCUUCCCUACAAAGUACAAGCAGAAAAAUUCCUUGCUGCUACUAUAUUCACUUUUGGAGCACUAAUAAAAGUAACUUAGACAAUGUAACAUCAGAUUAUAAUAAUAAGGCUAAAUUACAUUAAAUCCUUCUGUCAAAAUUCGAUUUUUCACUUUUUUUCUCUGUCAUUUAAAAAUCUACACUUUGCUCUCUUAUAAAAUAAAAAAUGUUCACUUCGUCUCAUGCUGUUAGUAAUCCAUUAGAGUUCCGUUUAUAAAAUAUUAUUAUAUAUUUUUUAAUGUCAAAAAUGCCCUAAGCCUUCUUUUCUGUGAACAUAGUGAGGGGCAAAAUGGUGAGGAGCAAAAUAGUCAUUUUAUCAUCCAAGUUCACACUGUAUCUCUGUGAACAUUUUUUAUUUUACAAAGGGACAAAGUGUAAGUUUUAAAUAAUAGGGGAAGAAAGUGAAAAAUCGGAUUUUGACAGGGAGGUUUUCUGUAAUUUAGCCUAAUAAUAAUGCUGAAAAAUCGACCGUCCCAAGUGCAAAUGGCAAAAAACUUGAUAGUUGGUAUCCAAAGUCCCAAGUUCAAAUCUUAAUUGAUUCACAUUUCUAACUAGGGCUUUUUUUGCAAAUAGCCCCUUGACAAAUUAAAUUUGCAAAAAUAGUCCCGUCCAAAAAUUAUUUGCAAAAAUGGCCCUGCUCCUGCCACGCCAGCGCCACGCGGGCAGAGCGGGCCCAGGUGUUUAAGUUGAACACGGUGAACCAUUCACCGUAUUCAAUAUAAAAUUUUUGUAUUGGACACGGUGAAUGGUUCACCGUGUCCAAUACAAAUACCCCAACAAUAACUAAGUUGGAGGUAUUUGUAUUAGACACGGUGAACCAUUCACCGUGUCCAAUUAUUUGUAUUGGACACGGUGAAUGAUUCACCGUGUCCAAUACAAAUAUUUUGAUCUUAGUUAUUUUGUAUUAGACACGGUAAAUCAUUCACCGUGUCCAAUAUAAAAACUUUGUAUUGAACACGGUGAAUGGUUCACCGUGUUCAACUUAACCAUCUGGUCCAGCCCCGCCCGCGUGGCGUUGACGUGGCGCUUGCGUGACGGGGCCAGGGCCAUUUUUACAAAUAAAUUUUUGACAGGGCCAAUUAAAAAAAAAAAAUUUGUAAGGAAGCUAUUUGCGAAAAAAGCCCUUCUAACUAAGUUACGUGUAGCAUACUAUCUAUCUUUAUGUAUAGAUCGAGUUGAUAGUAACAGGGCCUAAUUCUGCAGUAUGCCUACUACUUGAAAUAUUGCCUUUUUUUUUUUUAAAUUUUAGAAUUAGAACUUUCACUUUUUAGACAAAAAAAAAUUUUAUUAGUUCAAUAUAUAUCAAAUAUUUUACUUCUACUAUUUUGAAAUAGGAAAAGAAAAAGAAAAAGAAAAAAAAGCCUGAGUCACAAGAUCUACAUUCUAUUUUUUGUUCUUUUUUAUCUUUCUUUUGUGAUGCCCCAUGAAGUCAUAUGAGUGCAUGCACUCUCUUUCUCUCUCUCUCUCUCUCUCUCUCUCAAGACCCACACACUCUUAUCUCUCUCUCUCACUUUCUCAAGUUGGUUGGCAUGUUGUUAUUAUUAUGUGCAUGAAACCAUCAUAAAACCACUCCACAAAACCAAAAAAAAAAAAAAAAAAAAAAAAUUCACACCACCUUUUUCCUCCUCUCAUCAAACCCUUCACUUCUCAACUCCAUAUCUACACCCCACAACACCACCACCACCACCACCACCACCAUUUUUGCAACACUCUUUUCUCCCUCAUAUCACUCCCCCAAACUCAUCUUCAACCUCUCAACACAAUUCCACCUUAAAAACAAAAAAAACAAAAAACAAAAGAAAAAAAAAAAACACACACACACACACUAACAUGAAAAGGACCCAAGAAAGAACCCACCACACUCUCCUCCUCCUCUACUACCUCUACCUCUUCAUGAUCAUGAUCAUCCUCCUCCUGCUCGUCCAAUCGGGCUCCGCCACGUCAUCCGGCGCACCACGUCAGCGGGGGUCCCCGAUCCGGUCCAUGGUGGUGCUGGUGCUCGAGAACCGCUCCUUCGACCACAUGCUGGGGUGGCUGAAGCGCUCCCUCAACCCCCUCCUCGACGGCCUCACCGGCUCCGAAUGCAACCCCAACUCCUCCUCCUCCUCCCCAAACCCUAACCCUAACCCUAACCCUAACCCUAACCCUAAUCCCCCCCUCGUCUGCGUCUCCGACGACGCCCGCUUCGUCGCCGCCGACCCCGGCCACUCCUUCGAGGACGUCCUCCUCCAGGUCUUCGGCCCCUCGUCGUCGUCGUCCUCCUCCUCCCCCUCCGCGGCGAAGAGGACCCCGUCCAUGUCCGGGUUCGUGGAGCAAGCCCUCUCCAUCUCCCCCGACCUCUCCGCCACCGUGAUGAAGGGCUUCGACCCCUCCCGCCUCCCUGUCUUCGAAACCCUAGCCGCGCACUUCGCCGUGUUCGAUCGCUGGUUCUCCUCCAUCCCCGGCCCGACCCAGCCCAACCGCCUCUUCCUCUACUCCGCCACCUCCCAUGGCGCCGUCGCCCACGACAAGUGGAACCUCCUCCGCGGCUACCCCCAACCCACCAUCUUCGACUCCCUCGCCUCCUCCGACCUCGACUUCGGCGUCUACUUCCGCUCCAUCCCCACCACCCUCUUCUACCGCGACCUCCGCCGCUUGAAGCACGUCUCCAAGUUCCACCCCUACGACGACACCUUCAGAUCCCACGCCAUGAGCGGCCGAUUGCCGAGCUUGAGCGUGAUCGAGCCGCGCUACUUCGACCUCAUCGGCGCCCCCGCCGACGACGACCACCCCUCGCACGACGUCGCCAACGGUCAGCGCCUCGUGAAGGAGGUGUACGAGACGCUCAGGGCCGGCCCCCAGUGGAACCACACCCUGCUCGUCGUCACCUACGACGAGCACGGCGGCUUCUUCGAUCACGUCGCCACUCCCUUCGUCGGCGUCCCCAACCCCGACGGCUUGAUCGGCCCCGAGCCCUUCCGCUUCCCCUUCGAUCGCCUCGGCGUCCGCAUCCCCACCAUCAUGGUCUCCCCCUGGAUCAAGAAAGGAACAGGUAAACAAUUUGUUAUUGUUCUUGUUGUUAAUGUUGUUGUUCUUGUUGUUUACUUGUUCCUUAGCAUUUCUAAUUUGGUACUACUACUAGUAAUUUGAUCAUUUGUUCUGUGCUUGGACUGGUGCAUCAUGCUAAAUUGCUACCACUAAGACUUCAAUUCGUCCUAGUUUCUGUCUACGAAUGUCGAUAAUUUUGAUUAAACAUUUGCGAUCUCAGAGCCGAGACGAAGAGAUGGUAAGUUUGAAUCUGUAUCAACUCACAUGCAUUAUGUGGCUGAAACUAUUUGUGCUGUAUCGUUUUCAUUUGAUGUUCUUUUUCCUAUCACCGGUAGUAAUUUGUAAAUUAGAAUCUUUCUCCGCAUAUCAUGUUUGAAAUUUCACAUUCCGGUGAAAACUUACUCAGCUGUGGAAUUCUCGUCGAAUGCCUAAUUUUUGGUUGUAAUGCAGUUGUGAACAGACCGAAGGGACCGUAUCCAAAUUCCGAAUUCGAGCACUCUUCGAUUCCGGCAACCAUAAAGAAGAUCUUCAACCUCACAUCCGACUUCUUGACAAAAAGAGACGCUUGGGCCGGCACAUUCGAACAUAUCUUCACCGAACUGAGCUCACCGAGAACCGAUUGCCCUGGUAAUCCGCAUCUCUCGCGUUCAUUUAUGCGUUAAAAGCAGAGAAAGGAAUUAUGAUUUAGCGAUUUACUUCUCCUUUAUUAGAAACCUCACGCGUUUGUUAUCAAGCGCGCGCAUUUGGUACUAUUUGAGAGAGAAAGAUAGCAAAUGAAGAACAUAGAAACCUAUUUCGCUACUUUUGCGUUCACUCUACGCUAAAACUGUACUGUUGUUGGUUUCUAACAGAGGUAUUACCAGAAGUCACUUCGUUACAACCGGGCGUAGCUAACGAAGACGGGUGGCUCUCAGAAUUCCAAAGCGAGCUGGUCCAGCUAGCCGCCGUUCUUAACGGCGACUACUUCCUGAACAGCUUCGGCCACGAAACAGGCAAGAAGAUGACCGUUAAGCAGGCCGACGCGUACGUUAAGCGCGCGGUAAAAAGAUUUAUACAAGCAAGCAAACAAGCUAUUCGAUUGGGCGCCAAUGCCUCCGCUAUCGUAAAUAUGAGAUCGGCUCUCACGACAGUGACCGCACCUCCGUAAAUCAUAUGUCAGUUCUUUGUUUAUUGUAAAUCUUGUAAUCUUUGCGCAGCCCGCGAGGGGGGGGUGGGUUUGCAUGCAUUUAUUUAUAUAUGAUGAAUAGAUCCUCUUCAUAGUUCUCUUCUAACUCGGACAAGAGGGAAGAAGCAACUUGAAGAACAUGUGUUUAAAAUAUAGAGAGGCUGAUAUUUUGCUUAUGUCAUGUUUUUCCUUCCAGUAUUGGCCUACAUCCUACUUGUGUUUGCUCAUUUCCUUUUCCUUUAUUUGCAAAUGACAAACUCCUUUGCUCAUGUUUUGUAUUAUUACUACUGAAACGAAAAGGAAGCAUGAUUAGGACAGAUCAGAUGAUUAUUGGAGACUGAGUAAUGAAACCGAAACAUUAAGAUGGCAACAAUGUUUCUGAAUGUUGUAUGGCAAAAAGAGGUUUGUCGAUUUAUCAACAAUCAUUUGAAAGCAUUACUUUCUGAACUAAAAAACUGCCGAUAAACUCGCAUUGUACAUGAGGGAUGCAAAACUUACUACUGAUUAUUUUAAUAUUUCUUAGUAGAAAUUUUGUCAUCAAAAUCUGAAAAAGAAAAACUAAACCUUUUACUAAUUGCAAAGUAUAUAAUACUGAUUCUUCUACACAUGGUAUUGCUCUUUCUAGAUCACUACCAUCUAGAAGUUGAACCACUACAAUGCUAAGAUAAAAAAAUCUGAUGGACCUGCUAUAUACAGUGCAACAUUUUUGCAAUGCAUGUUUCAAUCAAGUAUUUACCAACAUCAUUAAAAAAACACAACAGAAACCAGUGAGUGAAAAAUAAAAGGCUGUAAUGCAGAAAUUCCCUGCAAAGAGCAUCAUUGCACUUAACCCAUCUUUUACAAAAACACCUACAUUAAUCCCCUCAAUAUUUAAACCUUUCAUGCUUCGCCCUUUCUUGUUACACUUCUUAAUCAGGAAGUAUCAUGCAGUUUUCGAAUGAAAUGCUUACCAUCCCCCAUGAUAGGGUUAAAUAGACACUAUUUUAGAACUCGUAACAAUUUCAUAUAAGACAGGAAAGGGGUCACGUACUAAUAAUGAUCUAAACAUCGAGGGGGUAAAUACAAACAAGUCUAUAUAUCAAGAGAGGCAAAGUGCAAUUUGCAGUUUGAGGGAUCAAGAAAAACCCAACGCAUGUGGCGAAAACAAACAUCCAAGAGAUUCAUAGACACAUUAGUUAACAUCCAUGCACCGAAAAGUCAAAAAAAAAAAAAAAACAAUCUUCAAUACUGAUAAAAAAAGCAAAAACAAUCUUCAAUACUUAUAAGAGAAGCACUGUGCCACCUCCCUAAAACAUGGGGAGGAUAAGAUGAUGUAUAGGUCUUCGAACAGGUUUGAGCAUAAUGCUUCGGACCAAAAGGAAAGAAAAAAAAGGAAACCAAAGACGAAAACGAGCUAAGAAGGAAAUAACAAACGUCACUUCACAGCAAAUCCAGAGGAGGAAAAGCUAUCUUCUAGACGCUUUGACAGACUCUUCAAGCAUAAUUCAGAGGGAAUAGACGGAUAAUUCAGAGGGAAUAGACGGAAUAUGUGGUUCAGCACGUGGAAGCUCCCCUGAAGCGUCGGCAUCAAAUUAAACAUCUACAGAAGUUAAAAAAAGGAAAAAAAAAAAAAAAACAAUUAGGUCCCUCGUCAUUAGCAUUUGAUAUAUAUAUCGGUUGAUAGCAAUGACUGCAUAUACAAAUAGAAGCCUUACUUGAAACGAAAAGCACAUAAACAGAAAGAUAACAUAACUUUCAACAUACAUAUUUACUGCUGCUUGCACUUCUGCUAUUAUGAACAACUACAAGGGGCGGGCAAGAUAAACAUAAACCAAAAAGUACAAAGGAUUGGGGAUUAAGUAUAAUACGUUUACAAUCGUAAUGGACUUUUCUAUUGAGAAAAUAACCAGGGGUUAAUUUACUGAAAAUAGUAAGAGGAAUGGAGGCAAAAAAAAGAGGGGAUCAUUACAGGAAAGUCAACGAUCCAAAGAAUUGGAACCAACGUGCAACUACACUGCACCAAUCCUUGGGAUCUAGCCGCUCCGAUACCAAUUUGUAAUGACCCCCGACAAUCCGCAACCCGCCGAUGAUGAUAAUCGGUUGAGUGGAUAUCGGGCUGCCUUCUCAGCAUGAUCCUCAAUUAGGCGGAUAGUGGGUCCGCGUUUUACGCCCGAUUCAGCAAUCCGACCGCCCGAUCCGCCAUUUGCUGAAGUAUUACUACUUCCCCAAGUUUGUAGAUUUGGUCGGAUCUCCCUCCACCCGAUCUCCUCUCUCCUCUCUGUCUCCGCCCUAUCUCCUCUCUCCUCUCUGUCUCCGCCCGAUCUCCUCUCUCCUCUCUGUCCCCGCCCAAUCUCCUCUCUCCUCUCUGUCUCCAUGGAUGCCCUAGUCACCUCCGGUUUCUUCUCCGUCAGCGCCCGAGUCCUUCGAAGGCGCUCCCUGCAGGAUCCAUCCUGUUGCCGCCACUUAUUUCAUCCCUACCUAAGUUACUGUCUUAACUACCUUCCUCUUCUAACUAGGUUGUUAGAUAUUUCUCUGCUCUCUUUCCAUUCCUCUUUCAUUUUGCUUUUAUUUAGAUCAGGCUUUAUUGAGAACUAUUUACCUAUCUAGCCUCUUUACAAAAAAAUAUUUCCUAUCUAGCCUUCUUUUGAAAAAUAUUCCCCAUCUAGCCUCAUUUUCAAAGAUUAGAGAAAAAAAGAUAAAUUAAUUCCUUUAAUAUAUAUUAAGGGGUUAAGUGGGGGAGAUUAUUUUUUUCUCUCUCCUCUCCUAUUUCCCGAGAUUCCUUCUCGCUCUCUAAUUUUUGCGUAUAAUUUAUCUCAUAUAGAUUUAUUUCAAAAUAGAAAAUUUUUAUAUAGCGCAUCAACCAAUUCCAAUCUUUUUAUAUUUUGAUGGAAAUAUUAUGCAUGGUUCGGAAGGAGUUGAUUAUAAUGGUCCUGAUCCAAAACUAUUUGGAUUUCUCGUACUUUAGGUUUUAAUACAUUAAAACAUAAAAUUUAUAGGCCGAAUGGGAUCAAGAUUAUUUUGAUAUAAAAAUUAAUGGGAGAGGAGAGAGAAAAAGAUAAUCUCCCCCACUUAACCCCUUAAUAUAUAUUAAAGGAAUUAAUUUAUCUUUUUUUCUCUAAUCUUUGAAGAUGAGGCUAGAUGGGGAAUAUUUUUCAAAGGGAGGCUAGAUAGGGAAUAUUUUUUUGUAAAGAAGCUAGAUAGGUAAAUAGUUCCUUUAUUGAGGCCAUAUCGAGUAUCUGCCUCAGAUAUGAUAAUCCUUAACCCCGGAUCCAUAUCAUCAUCCCAAGCACCGAACAAACAUAUAUUAUUAUUAUAUAAUAAUAAAAUCAAUCGGUUUCUCUUUCAUUUCCAUCAAUCCUAUGGACGGGGAUUUCGAAUCUCAUCAAACAAACAAACAAACAAACAAAAAUUCUAGAUCGGAUCGGAAGGAAAAAGAGAUGAUCGUUCUUUCAUUUACCGGAUUGCAAAUCCGGUCAAACCAACAAAAAAACCCUAGAUCUGAUUUGUCUCUCCCAAACGAUGCCGCACUUGAUUCCUCUUUCAUAGUUUGAUUUCAACUUAUUCUACAUCAGAUUUUCAAAUCUCCACGAACAACUACCCAAAGAAGAAAACCUAGAUCGGUGGAAACCUAAAUCGGUGGCUCGAUUCUUCUUUCUCCUUUAAUUUCAGAUUCAGAUAUCAAAUCCCACAAAAAAAAAAAAUAAAAAAAAAAUCCAACAAGACUUGAUGAUUAUGCUUUAAUUGAUAAACCUAAACUAGAUCUGUUGCAGCGUUCUUCGUGGUUCGAAAGAAAGAAACUACAGACCUGGAUGCACUCUUGCCGGAGGUUUUCGCCGGCGAGCUGGAUGACGCCGGAGACGGAGACGAGCAAGCCACCCUGGGGGGGGACAUAGUGCUGGCAGUCGACGGUAUAGAUGUGGUGGAACUGGAAGGGGAGGGAGGCGAGCUUGGCGACGAUGGCCUGCGCGCCCUGGAUCUUGUCGCCCUCGAACGUCAGCAUCGACCCUUCCUGGUACAGAGCCCCCAGCGCCGCCCGGUUCUCGUUGAACGUCUUGCAGUAGUGCUCCGCGAACGCCCGGGCCAUCACGUCCGGAUCGCUCGAUCGAUCCAUCGCUCGCUCGUGCAAACGCUCGAGAUAUACCAUUGUUAAGAAGAUGUAAAGGAUCACGAUGAUCUCGACAGAGAGGAAGAGGAAGAGGAAGAGGCGAACGGAGGAGAAGAGGAGGAGGGGCGGAGCGGCGGCGCUCCUUAUAUGUAAUGAUAAUGAUAAUGUAAUAUAUACAAUAGUAAGGAUAUUAAUGAGAAAUUCUAAGUCGGUGACUAAUGAAUGUGCUAACCUACUUUCGCCCACCAGCUUUUUUUUUUUUUUUUUUUUUUUUUUUGGUGCACCCGGUGUAUCAUGUUUACUUUAAAUUUUUAAUUUUUAAUUUUAAUUUAAUAUUAUAUUCAAAAAAUAUAUGUAAAAAAUAAUUUUAAAUCUUAAAUUUUAAAUUAUUUUAUAUAUAUUUUUAAAAUAUCAUAAUAUUUAUAAUUAAAUUAUUAAUGAAUAAAUAAAAAAAAUAAAAUUUUAAAAUAAUACUAGUGCACCGGCUGCAUAAAAAAAAAAAAAUCCAACUUUUCUCCUUGGAUGAGCAAUCCGAAACAAUUUUGGUUCGUGCCAUGAUAGAAAUAUAUAUAUGAUGAAUAGAUCCUCUUCAUAGUUCUCUUCUAACUCAGACAGGAGGGAAGAAGCAACUUGAAGAACAUGUGUUUAAAAUAUAGAGAGGUUGAUAUUUUGCUUAUGUCAUGUUUUUCCUUCCAGUAUUGUCCUUCUACACCCUACUUCUGUUUGUUCACUUCCUUUUCCUUUAUUUGCAAAUGACAAACUCCUUUGCUCAUGUUUUGUAUUAUUACAAUUAAAAAGAAAAGGUAGCAUGAUUAGGACAGAUCAGAUGAUUCUUAUUACUACUGAAAAGAAAAGGAAACAUGAUUAGGACAGAUCAGAUGAUUGUUGGAGAUGAGUAAUGGAUCCGAAACAUUAAGAUGGCAACAAUGCUUCUGAAUGUUGUAUGGCAAAAAGAGGUUUGUCGAUUUAUCAACAAUCACAUAGGGGAUCAUUUGUAAGGCACCCAAAGCAUUAUUUUCUGAACUAAAAAACUGCUGAUAAACUGACAUUGGCAUUGUGCAUGAGAAAUGCAAAACUUACUAUUGAUUAGUUUAAUGUUUUUGAGUAGAAAUCUUGUCAUCAAAAUCUGAAAACAUAAAAAAAAAAAAAAAAAAAAAAAGCUCUUGAAAUUCAUGAACAUAGUACAAAGUAUAUGAUUAAAAUUCAAACUUCAACUAGGACUCUUUUACAUAAUCCAAGCACAAGAGAUAUGCAACCAAGCCCACAACAGGGACGAAUCUUAAGACAUUUACGAGUUCUGUAUAAUCUUCUUUUACAUUUUGAAGGUUGUCACCAAUCAACCAAGGUUGGAAUACGGCGUAAAGUAGAAUAUCCCAUAUGAAUGCAUAAGCAAGCCUCUCUGAUCCGAUAUAAUUUCCCAAAUAUAGCCAUCGAUCAGCUAGACUUCCGAAACCACCAUCGGCACGACCAAAAAGAGCCCAAAGUGUCGAGACAACGCAGACAAAUCCACCAAUUAAAGCCACGAUGGGCGCACCUCUUACCAUCACUGAACCCAACUGAGAUGGUUUUGUGGGAUACUGGUUCGAGUCCGCAUCAUUAAGUCGGAUCGCCAUGUAAGGUAUUAAGAAGACUGAGCAAGCAAUGCCAAGAAGCAGAGACAAGUUCAAUCAGAUAAAAUAGCUUACCAUAGUUUUUCUUCUUCUUUUUUUUUUUCUGUUUUUGACAAAAGAACAAAUUAGUAACUUAUGAUUCCUUUAAAUAUGUGUUUGCAAAUUAAGCAACAAUAACAGGACUAGAUCUGUUCAUCGCAAGGUGCCUUUCUCAUAAAUUCNAAAAAAAAAAAAAAAAAAAAAAACCAAAGACGAAAACGAGCAAAGAAGGAAAUAACAACCAUCACUUCAUAGCAAAUCCAAAAGAGGAAAAGUUAUCUUCCAGACUCUCUAAAAGACUCUUCAAGCAUAAUUCAGACGGAAUAUGUCAUUCAGCACGUAGAAGCUCCCCUGAGGCGUCGGCAUCAAAUGAAACAUCUAUGGAAAUUAAACAAAAAAAAAGAAAAAGGAAAAAAAAAGGCAAUUAGGUCUCUCGUCAUUAGCAUUUGAUACAUAUAGGUUGAUAGCAAUGAUUGCAUAUACAAAGAGAAGCCUUACUUGAAACGAAAAGCACAUAAACAGAAAGAUAACAUAACUUUCAACAUAUCCAUGAACUGCUGCUCGCACUUCUGCUAUUAUGAACAACUACGAGGGGCGGACAAGAUAAACAUAAACCAAAAAGUACAAAGGAUUGGGGAUUAAGUAUAAUUUGUUUACAAUCAUAAUGAACUUUUCUAUUUAGAAAAUAACCAGGGGAUAAUAUGCUGAAAAAAGUAAAGAGGAAACUGACAUUACGGAUCAAGUUUAACCAAAGAUGACUUUCGUGGAGGCAAAAAAAAAAGGGGAUCACUACAGAAAAGUCACAAACACAAAUAAAACACGGACGAAUGCUCGCAAAACAAUUGCACAUAUUACACGCACGCGCGCGCACACAGCUUUUGAGGGGAGUUAAAUUCUUUGCCAAUGAUGCCAAACAACAAACUAUGCACUUAUUUUGUCAUUUCAUUGAGCUUUUGAAUGGAGUUAAAUUCUUUGCCAAUGACGUCAAACAACGCACCGUGCAACUAUUUUGUCAUUUCAUUCAAUUGGAAUAAUUGUAGUCAAAAUUCUUCGCCACGGUCCAAAGGUCCUAUCACAAUCAAUCCAAUCCUAGAGCUUCUUUGUUACAUAGUUAGGCAUUUUCCUCGCAGAUUAAGAACCCCAGACGUACACUUGAUCAAUCAAAUCACUCUCGAGCAACAUAGAACCAACCGUCUUCUUCACAACUUAUGAAGAUUCAAAAGUUCCUUUUCUUUUCCCAUCCAACCUACCUUCAUCAGCUUUUCUUAUUCCUCUUUUACAAUAGUCUAUCAUAUUUCUGGUUCAUCCAGCUCGUAGAAAAAUGAGAAAACAAAAAAUAGCACAAGGGUCAAAUAUCUUUUUUCUAUAUACUUUGUGCUCCUAAAAAAGAGAACCUCAAAAUCAAUCUCUCAUCUAAAAGCUAUGGGGCAUGCCAAAUCCAUGCCUAAAGAGCAAAAAUUCUCCUCCUAAUCGUAGCAAGCAAUCAAUAAAAUCGGAUUCAAAUCUCAAACAGGUGCAUAAGAUUUCCCCUAAAAGAACAAUUAACUAAGAAAGAAAACCCUAGAUUCAUAAUCCACAAGGAUGAAAUCAAGGAAGCUUAGAGACAUAAGGCUCCAGACCAAGAAGAGACAUAGGGAAGAAAACAGGGCACAUCAGAUUAGUCGAAGACUGUUGGCUUAAAUGGGCCAGCAUCCUGCCCUGUGGCGGGAGGCCAUGUGGGCCGAGUCAUGUUCGAAAUGGCGUGAGGCUGGGUUGGGCCGAGUCAUGUUCGAAGUGGCGUGAGGCCAGGUGGGCCGAGUCACAAUCGAGACCCGUGGGCGCUGUUUCUGUACGCUUUAAGUGAAUUGGUUGCGUAUUUCUAACAGCUCGAGCUUUUGGGAUUAAUGGUUAGCGCCAACGAUCCGACAAAGACACCCUAAACAUCAACAAAUGACCUCAUUCUCUAUUGAUUAGACCACCUUGCAAAAAGAAAGUAAGCCCCCUCCCAAAAAAAAACCAACAAAAGAACACAACACACGGAACCCUAAAACAGGCUGGCCACAAGGAAAGCAUAGAAUGUAUAGGAGUAAAGGCACAUCAAUUACACUUUAUCUAGUAGGAUCGACCAUUAUCUGAUCGCCAAUCAUCAUUUAAACAUGAUUGAGUGAACACCAUAUCAUAUCAAAUAGAGGGGGAAAAAUUAAAAAUCUAACAAUGAUAUCGUUCUCAGGUUGCUUUAGCACCAAAAAAAGUUAAAGAAAGAAAGUAGUGAAGGGGAAAAAAAAAAACCAUAAAUCUGGUUGAUCUCUUCCUCCGUUUUAACUACGCUGGCUCGGCAGCGAAAACCCCUAGAUCCAUUUCACCACAAGGAUCAAACACAAAAGGCACAAGAAAAGAAGUGCUAUCAAUCAAUCGAGUCAUCGAUCUCUUCUCUCUUCUUACUUAGAUUGGGGAGUAGAAUAUGGAAGAAAAAAUAAAAAGCAAAACUCCAGAUGAAACUGAACACAAGUGUCGAAAAAUGAGAAGGAAACCCUAGAUCCAGCCUCAUUUCCAUUUCCGCCUGAUUGGAUACCAAGACCUAUCAAAUAGCCCUCAUUUACAUAAUAAUAAAAUCAGACGCUAGAGUAGAUCUGUUGCAGCAUGCAUUCAGAAGUUCGAAAGAGAGGAAGAAACUACUGACCUGGCUGAACUUGAGCUGGUGGUUUUCGCCGGCGAGCUGGAUGGCGCCGGAGACGAAGACGAGCAUGCCGCCCUGGGGGCCGGAGGGCUGGCAGUCGACGGUGGAGAUGUGGUGGAGGCACUGCUGGAAGGGGAGGGAGGUGAGCUUGGCGACGAUGGACUGCGCGCCCUGGAUCUUGUCGCCCUCGAACGUCAGCAUCGACCCCUCCUGGUACAGCCCCCCCAGCGCCGCCCGGUUCCCGUCGAACGUCCUGUAGUAGUGCUCCACGAACGCCCGCGCCACCCCGUCCGGAUCCAUCGAUCGAUCGAUCAAAAACUCUCGAUACUCGAUUUCGAUGAUGAUGAUGAAGAUGAUGAAGACGAUGAUCUCUCUCUCUCUCUCUAUACUCUCUCUCUCUCUCUCUCUCUCGGUCUCUUGAGAGAGAGGAAGAGGAAGAGGCGAAUGGAGGAAGAAGAGGAAGUGGAGAGGAGGGGGAUCGGCGGCGACUCCAAGCAAGAUAAUAAUAUAAUAUAUAUAUAUAUAUAUAAUUAUAUAUAUGAGAAAUUCUGAAUCGGUGACUAAUGAAUGUGGUGGCCUAUUUGUGGCCUGUAGCUAGCUAGGUUUUUUCCCUUUUUUUUCUUUUUUUCCGGGAGAGUCCCUCAAGUAUAUCGAUAUUGCUAUUAGGUCGUUUUAUUUUAUUUUUAUUUUUUGUAGUUGUUUAAACAAUUGAGGUAGUUUAGUUUAGUUUAGUUUUUUUUUCCCCUUUUCUUUCGGUUUGUAAUUGGUCAGUUGAUACUGACUUAAAGAGAGAGAGAGAGAGAGAAAAAUUAUUGAUUUUAAAUUUUGAAAAAAAAUGCAACAAGGAUAAAAUUUUUGUAGUUAAAAGUUAAAAGGUAAACUUCAAAUACCAUCCAUAUAACUUUAUACUUUUUUAUUUUAGUAUUCAUGUAGUUUAAAGUGUAUCAAGUUAGUGUCAUGUGGUUUUAUUUUUAUUUUUUCGUUAAUUUUUUCGUUAAUAUUUUAUUAAAUUAUAUACAAAAAAAAUUUCAGAUAUCACACAUAGGUUUAUCAAAUAUUCACUUUAGUACCCUUUAGUUUUAACUUUGUCGCUAAUUUAAUGAAAAAAAUUAGUUGAAUCGAUAAUAAAAAUAUAAAAAUAAAAUUAUAAGAUACUAAAUUAAUUUACUUUAAACUAUAAAAUAAAGUUAAAAAAAAUGAAAUAUAGAUGAAUCGUCAAAACUUUUUUUUUUUUUUUUGAGAGAUAGAUAGCACGCCAUUCGCUUCGCUUAUUUCAUUUAGAAAUAAACUUAGUUUGAAAUAUGAAUCAACUAAGAUUCGAACUUAAGACCUCGGAUACCAACCAUCAAGUCCUUUGCCACUUUGAUCUAGGGACGGUCGGUCAAGAGGACAUAGCCAAAUUGAAGUACCAAAUAGUAGACCACAAAAAAAAAAAAAGAAAAAAAAUGCAAAUAAAAUAAUUUUUUAUCAAAAAUUUAGAGACUAUGAUUUACGAAUGCAAUUUAGCCUAUUUUUCACUUGCUGGUAUGAAGAUCGGUUAUUCGAUCCCCCACUAAUAAAUCGUCAAUCCUCAACAUCUACGAAAAGAAUACUAUAUUAAGUACUGAAUUUAAUUCUUCAAAAAAGAAAAACACAAAAAAAAAACUUUUCUCACAUCAGGAAGAAGUACGUAGAUGCAUACAUACAUACAUGGCUAACAUAUAUAUACAUGGAUAAUACAUUUUAAAUAUCAAUAUAUAUGCUAAGUACGCCAACAUAUUUUCACGCGUACAUUUAUACAUUCGCAUAGUAGUAGUAGUAGCAGGAGACGCAGAACAACAAACAAACUACAACCUAUAGCUAAGUACAUGCGACUCUCCGACAACCAUGGACUAGCGUUUUACGUGUCCAGUAACAAGAAGGGCAGCGGCUGCACCUGCGUCCCCCACCGCGGCAAUCGCGGGACGUCACGGUGGGGGAUCGCAUUCCCGCCGCUGCACUCACCGCAUUCGUCGCCGCCGCCGCCGUUGUUGCUGCUGCUCACGCCUAUCCCGUCGCCACCGUGCUCGUCUUGCCUCUCCAUGUUGAGAUACUUCCAUAUACGAGCACCAUGCGAGAGCCACGUUGAGUGAGAUGAUGAUCAUGAUGUUAAUAAUGAGGGUGGGUAAAAGAUGAUCAUGAGAAGCAGCUUACUGAUUGGAGUACCCUCCUCUUUUCAAGAAGCUUCUCCCCCUGCGAAUCCGCAAUAUAACAAGUUAAGAGAGACAAACUGAAACGAUCGAUAGUGCGCGUAAACUUAUUUUAAUAUGGUAACAUGCAAGGUUAUCUUGCAUGUAAGUGGUACCACGACUCUUUCGGGUUCGUUCCCUCAGCAAUUUUGAAGAUUCAAUUGAUCUCUAUGCUCUUAUCGUGCUGGUUCAACUGCGCCGUUUAAGUAGAACUUUUUAAGAAGCACUAGCAGCCUUUUUCCACACUUUUGUUACCAUCCACUCAGUCUAUCCUACUGCAGACAGAUAUUCAGAGGAACUUAGUUUGCGUUAGCUUCUCGUUACAGCAAAAGCUUAAGAGCUUUGUUUGCCGAACACAGGCUAUCUGUCUUCGGAGUACAGAAGAAGUUCAAAAUCCUAAGCCCUAACUUGCACAAAGUGAUGAAUAGUAUUAAGGAAUCAUGAUCUCUUAGUCUUUGCUGAAGGUUGUUGAGAAUUUAUCAUGAGAUACUAGUGGGGAUGCUAAAAACUGUUGGAAGAGGAUCAUCAGAUGCUGGUGGUAAUCAAACAAAGAAAAGAGAUUAGUUAGCGUGUAGUUAAGAGCUGUCGCACCCGAAUUGUUCUAUAACUAGUGGAGCGGUUUGUCUGCAGUGUGCGACGUUCAACUAGCCCACUUAUCUUGUCAACUUUGACUGAAGCAUCUCAGGCCACAAUGUCUAAAGUCGGCUUCUGCAAAAAGCUACAAACACUAGCGGGCUAGUUGCGCCUUACGAAAGUGAUUUAACAGCCAAGAUCUAUAUCUUCCUAAGUGGAUUAGUGCUUAUCUAGUCUAGUACAGAAUUGGGACAUUGAUGCUAUGGACAAAGAAGAUUCCUGACCUAAAAUUUCCCUUUGCAUCACCCCUAUCAAAGAUCAUAUUCUAGUUGUGAAAUGCUAAAGAUUCCCAAUAUAAAAAAUAGAAGAGCACUUUUUCUUUAAUUUUCCCCUUUGCAUCCCCCCGUAUCUAAGAUCAUAUUCUAAAAGGUGUGAACUGCUAUGCACUAUACAUAAGUGCAUCGGAUAAUCAAAGUUAUCUAUGUUGAUCAAAUCGACUAGAAAGAAAAAAUGUAUAAAGUUUUCACAUACCUUUUCCUGAAGCUCAGCGAUCAUAUCCAUCAUCACUUGAGUCUGUGUGCAUGCACAGCACCAGAUUAUAAUGUAAAAUCUGUAAAGUUGCUUUACCAUUUUCACAAUUUGGCAUAAUAAAUUUGAACCGCGGAUGUCAUUUUAAAGAUCCAUACUUCUUUCGGUAAGAAGUUUCUUAUCCAAAUCAGGAAAUUUUCCUGCUAAACAGGGGUAAAGUUUGCUAACCUUUCGGGCAAUUGUUUGUGUUAAUGCACCAUCCAGUUCACUUUCAACUUGGUUGAGCUCAUCAAAGCUCAGCUGUGCGAUGUUUGACUUGUCUAGUGACCUGAAAUGUACUCUGUUGUGCAUCAACAAAUAGAAAAUCGUGUAUUGGUGUUUUAAAAUAGAGUGGUGCAUCACCUUUGAGAAAACUCCAAUAGCUCAUCUUUAGUUCUUGGACAAGCAAAGCCCUUGGUGCCCUGCAGAGGUUGAAAGUUAAUUUAUGAAAUAACAUAGUGUAACCCCCAUAUUCUGAGUGAAAUUCUCAGCACUACUUGUAGGCAUAUGCAUAAAUCUACGACAUAGGCACCAGUAGCAUGCCGUCAUUUAAGUUCUGUUUAUAUAGAAGGGAUUCCAUUUAUGUUUUUGGUUCAGAAAAUGCUUUUGAAACAUUGAUCUAGUCCACAAGCUCUUUAGUUGGAACUUUUACACGGUUAGGUGCUGCUUUCGAGAAAAACUUUCUUAAUUUUCAUGUCAAAUAACAAAGCAACAAAACCACAACAUGCUGCACUGAUAGUAUACUUACCUGUACUAUUCUUUCUGCAUGUGAAAAUUGUCGAUAGUGAGCAAUUAUUUUGUCCAUGCUGAAAAAGAGAUGCAGUUGUUAGUUCAUAUUCAAUUGGUUUGUUCUUCUUCAUAAAUGUCAAAGUGAAAAAAAAUGCAUUUCACAUGCCUAGUUUCAAUAUUGCAUAAAACAAGGUCCGUUAAGUCGCACAUGAAUCCUAAGAUAGGCAAGUUAAUUCUUAUAUGUUAGAGCAGAAGGCUUGCAAUUAUUUCAUUCGCUAUGUAUAAUGUCUAGCCAUCUUCCCCUGUUAAUGCAAUGCUUCUCUCAAAAGAUUUUCACCAAUUCAGACAUGAAACUCACAUAUUGAAAAGAGUAGUUCUUUGUGUACCUCAGAAGGCCCUUAGAAAGGUUUUUGCGGAGUUAGUAUCUUAUAGUUAAUGAUUGUUCAGAAGCAAAGGUUUGUUAUUACAAGGGUGUGCUCGGUUCGACGUAAAACUAUGAAAAAAAAAAUUUCGGUGGAAAAAAUUUUCGGAGGAAAAUAAAUUUUAUGUCUUCUAGUGUUUGGUUUAUAGAAAAAAAUUUAUUUUUUGUUACGGUUGUUUGGUUGAAAGAAAAAGAAGAAAAGGUUAUAUAUUUUUUCUUAUUCUAUAUAUUUUAUAUUAUUGAUAUAUAAUUAUUAUCAUAUUACAUAUAUUAGUAUUAUAGUUUAUAUUUAUAAAUAAAAUAUAUUUAAAAUAUAUUAUACAAUAAUUAAGUAUGUAAUGUAAUGUAUAUAAUAUAAUAGUAUAUAUUUAAUACUAUAAAAUAAAUUACUAGAUAUUUAUAAAUAAAAUAUUAUAUAAUAAAUAUAUUUAUAUUAAAAAUAAAAUACUAUUUUUAAUAUAUAUAUAUAUAUAUAUAUAUAUAUAUAUAUAUUAUAUGUAAAAGAAAAGAGGAAGGAGACCUCUCUCUCGCGGUCCACGAGGUGGGGUGUGCCUUAUGGACCGCGUGCCUGCUGCCCCUCUCCCUCUCAAUCUCGUGAUUUUUGAGUGUUGGUUUUCGUUUUCGCUCGUUUCGAGCAAAAAACGAAAACACGCGUUUUCAUUACAAUUCGUAAAAAAAAAAAAAUUUGAAAAAUUCUUUUUAUGAUCAAACAAAUAUUGGAAUCUUACUUUUUUACUAAAUUUAUUUUCUUGAGGAACCAAACUCACCCUAAGCCGAAAUCGAUCACUACCAUUUAUAUCAUUUAUAUAGUGCUAAUUCUCACCAAAAUUCAUUCUUUGAUCAUUACAAGUGUCCCCUCUGAUAAACUGCGACUUAUUUCACAAAACUUCAAGAAAAAAAUAGAUAAAAAAUUAAAGCUUCAGAGACAUAUGGGAACAUACGUGAAUCGAAAACAACCACAAGGAACGGAAAAUAACCUGGUACUCAAUAAUUCUCAAACAAUUGUAACAUGAAAUUAGUGAUUUGACCCGUCACAACUAUCGUACGAUCAGAAUCGAUAGAAAUGACAAAAGAUGGACCAAAUAUCACAUAAGAGUAAACUUUCUUAGUUUCUCCAUUUGUCUGUAACUGAUUUUCCAGUUAAAAAUAACCUUAAGUGGAACUAAAGUGCAGGUGAAGAAAUUUUUCCACAUAAUUAUUUUAUUUUUACUAAAUUUUUCAUACUACCUAGCACAUAAGAAGACGAAAAACAAAGUUACAACAAUUGAUUUUUAAUUUUGAAAUAGUAGAGUGGCGAAUGAAUUUAAUUUGCCCCAAACCAAAUAAGUAACUGCACCGUCCCUAUGUACAACAAGGCCAAGCAGAGAAAUAUCGUGUAAAUAUCUCCACCUAUAGGGUUUAAAUCACAACUCGUAGUGAGAAAAAACCUCGGCAAACAGAGAACUACUUGGCGAAGCUCGUACGAACGGAUCAAAAACCUAGGGUUUUAAUCAAGUCAUAGUGAGAGAGAGAGAGAGAGGGGGGGAGNGUCGUAGAGCUUGCCCUUGGCGGAGAAGACGACGAGGCCGACCUCGGCGUCGCAGAGCACGGCGAGCUCGCGCGCCUUCUUCAUGAGCCCGGCCCGCCGCUUCGAGAAGCACACCUGGCGACUCGCCUUGUCCUCGAUCCGCCGCAGCUCCACCCUCCCCCUCACCAUCGCCGCGCCCUUCCCCGACCCCCACAAAACCCUAAUCCCCGCCCCCACGAACGAAGACGAAGACGACGCAGAAGCGGGGGAGGAGGGGAUUUGUAGGGCAACAUCGAUGGACGUAUCGAUCGAUCGAUCGAUCGAUCGAUGACCUCUCUCUCUCUCUCUCUCUGGAAUCGCAAAUGGGGAGAAAGGGUGGUGGGGAAGGGGACGAGAAGAGGUUCGCGUCGCCAUCGACCUCAUCGCGAUCGACACGUAGGUCUCGUGGAGGGUGUUUUAUUCGGCUUUCUGUUGUCGAGCACCUGCGCCUCCUCCUCCCCAGUCCUCACUCGCUCGCUCCCACUUCUUUUUCGUUUUUUUUUCUUUUUUUCUUUUGCUUUUUAUGCCCUCGUACGAGGAAAGGGUCGUCGUUUUCCGUCCGACGUGUCAGCGCGAGGAAACGACACGUUUCGGGAAACAGAUGAGUGUUUCCCGGACCAAUAGGAAUUCGUAACGUGGCAACGUGAUGAGUUGUCCCGCACUUCGCGCGCGCCUAGUUGCAAGAAUGUCCCGUAUAAUUUCGAAUAGUUGUUGGAGUGGAGGAAUUCUACACUGUCACACUUGCACCACGUUAUCAAUAACAAGUUAAUCACAUUCCUUCUUUUCAAACAAAAGUAUAAUUAAAAUACUCUUUUACAAUCAUGAUGGGACAUAUAUCCUUAAAAGGAUUAACUUGAUUGGUUUGUUACGCCACGUCACUAAUACACCCGUUGCAUUCUAAAAUUUUUCGUUGGAGUGGGGGAGUACGAAAAGGAGUUGGACAUAGAAGAAACAUAAGGAAAUAUAAAGAAAGAAGAGGAGAAAAAAUAAUGUAAUUAUUUCUAAAUUUAUUUAAAGAGUGUAAUUUUUAUCUUAAAAAAUGUAAUUUAUAUAUUAAAAGUAUAAUUUAUAUUUAUAACAGUAUAACGUUCUUUUAAAAUAGUGCUCUUUUUUUUUUCGUUCUCUUCUAAUUAUUCUUUUUUAUUCUCUAAUUUUUAGCCUUUGAUUAAUUUUUUUUAGUUUAAGUAAACAAAAAUGUAUGACCAGAGAUACUGCAGUGGAGGUAGAGUUGGAGAUGGAGGGCAAAGAGAUGUUGGGUAUAGAAAAAGCACGAGAAAGCAGAAGUGAAGGAGGAGAAGGAGAAACAGAAUAACUAUCCACCUAAAGUGCUGUGCUCUUAGGAGUACGGAGGCCUUUGUACUCCUGAGCCGUAUUAGAUGAUAGAAUUUUCGAAUUGAUAAUCGACUCUGUUAGAUUUAAUCUAGCGUAUUUGAAGUUUUUAGAACAUAUUUUUUGUGAUUUUUUGAUAUCACUAAUCUAGCAAUCAAAAGGAUUUAACAUUAACGGCUGAAAAUAAAAACUUUAUAAAAAGUGGUGAUAUAGCACUAAAAUUUUCAAUGAAAAAUAUUAAUCUUGUUGUAGAUAGUAUAAAAAAUUUUGUAUCAAAAUUUUAUAUGAUUUGAGUACUUUUACGCCGUUAAAUUUGAAAACAGCAGACAUCAACCAUUAAAAAUUAUUGAUUUUGAACUCUUUCAAUCACUAGGUAAAUAAUAUCGAAAAAUCGCAAAAAUUAUUUUCAAAAAGCUUCAAAUAUGCUAGAUCAAAUCUAACAGAGCCGAUAGUUGAUACGAAUAUUCCAUUAUCGAAAACGGCUCAGAAGCACGGCGUCUCCUAAGAGCACAACAGUCUUGCUCUAAGAUUUACAUUAUAUAUUUGGAUAAACAAAUAGAGUUUUCUCAAAGUGAAAAUGUAUGAAAUUUACUUGACUGGUGAAUUAAAUUUAAGCAUCUAGGUGUAAAUAUUUUGAUUUUGUGAUCUAAUAUUUCAAUCAUACUUACUUGACUGAUGGAUUAAAUUUAAACAUCUAGUUGUAAAUAUUUUGAUUUUAUGAUCUAAUAUUUCAAUAAUUUUAAUUUCAGCUAUUUGAUGAUUCCUUUGAACAAAGUUUGGACAUUCAUUUUAAUUGAAAAAUAGUAAUGCUAAAUGUACAAAACAUGGAAACAAAAACUAUCAAAUAGCUCAAAUCAAAUAUAUCAAAAGAUCUAACAUCUAAAUGAUUUUUCUCGCAGAUUAAAUAACACCAAUAUCAAGUGAAAUGAAAUGAACAAUGUGUUUACCAAGAUUAAAAUCUUACUUUCUUAUUCUACAAUGGUCAACCGCUUGUUCGCGACAAUAACAUUAGAUCGAAGCCAUAAGAUCAGUUUUACUUCAAAACGAACAAGAUAAGAAGAGAAAAAAAAAAGAGAAAUUGAAAUUCCAUAAAUAGUACAUAAAACCCAUACACAAACACCCAGAAGUAGCACAUUCCUUCUACCCAAGAAAAGGAUGGUCUUACAGUAUCAAAAUGUAUCAAAAUAGUUGUUUUCGCCGCUUAUUCUCGCAAAAGCAGUAAAGCAAUAACUAAACUGCUUCUUCAUAGAGGAAUGUUAAAAGCCUUCUUCAGCUUCUCGACUUCCAAAUAAGCAGUGGAGUAGGGAAGAAACUCCGAGAAAUGGCUUUGCAUGAGAUCGUUAAUAGCCACCGCAAGCUUCGGGAUCUCCAGAGUCUCCUCGUGGGUGAGUUUCCGAACAAACCGAGCUGGGUUUCCGGCCCAAAGUUCGCCGGUCGGAAUCCUCCGGCCCGGCGGGAGAACUGACCCGGCUUCGAGGAUUGAGUUGGUCUCGACCAACGAGCCCUCCAUGAGGACCGAGUGUUGGCCGAUUAUGCACUCAGGUUCGAUCGUGCACGAGCGCAAGAGACAGUACCCGCCGAUUGUAACAUAUCGAUCGACGGAUGUCUCGGCUGGAAGUCCUGUUGAAACUAGAGAAUAAGGACCGGAAAGGUUUAACUUCAAUAUAGUUAAAAUGAUAGAGUAAUGUGUACCUCAGCCUACACCUCAAAAUACAGUUGAUAAGCCAGCUUCGCACAUAUGACAACUAUUUAAAAUUCAACUUUUCAAAAUUAAAUGUCUAAAUCACAUAUCAUGAACGAAUUUCAAAAAGCUAAAUAAUUAAUUAAUUAUCAUAUGUACAAAACUGACUCAUCAACUAUAUUCUAAGAUAUAUUUUAAGAUACUUUAACCAAACUAAAUAGCAAUAACAUAGAACAAAGCUCUUAGGAAGGAUAUUAAUCCCAGUACUAAGGACAGAAUCUUCCAACCACGCACUAGCAAAGGGUUUGAGGUUUAUUACUUGUUCAUUACUUCAUUAGGUGCUGUGAAUUCCUUCAUUGUUACAGCAUAUGGCAACACCAUUUCGGCAAUACAAUAUUAAGACAAAAGUGAAAAAAAAAACAUCAAAUUCAAUAGAAAAGGAACAAGCUAUUGAGACCGAAUAGAGACUCACGACUGUCAAGUUGGUCCAAAAAUUCUUUAGGAAAUCUAUUUAGAAUACCGGGGAUCUUUAUAGUUAUGACUUGCAUAUAUGUCACGCCAUUGUUUCCUAUAAAGAAAGUCAGAUCAGAUCAAAGCCCAAAAGGGCUCCGGUUAUGAAAGAGGGAGGUACAUAGUCACACAGUAAAGUACUAUAUACUGCUGAUAAGAAAAGGGGUCUUUGACAAGAUUGAUAUAACAAGAAGAGGGUACCAAAAAUUUUUGAAACUAAGAUGAACAAGCACAUAUAGAACUUAUUGGCCUGACUUCUAGAACAGCUUCUCUACGUUGGGAUGCAGCGACUAAAUGCAUGAUGAACAAAUAAAGCUAACAGCAUUUUUUUGUGAAAAGAACCCAAAAUAAACUUCUUGGCUCCAAAAAUAGGCCCAAUUUGAACCUUCUGCUUUGCUGCAGCAGAAUGCUUCUUUAGGCAGAUAUGUUUGAACAGCAAAAUAAUACAAGCUCCAGACAGAGAAAAAAGCCCUUAUUUAGGUGCUUCGUGGACCGGUAGAGGAAAUAUGAGAAACAAAGUACGUCGUAGAAUAACAAGUUCACUGUUUAAAAUAAGGCUAAAAAUCAGAUUAGCUACUAUUAAAUGUGCUGUACUAACUCUAUGACCUGACUCUUGCAUAUGCAGUGGCCAUGGGUUAGAAAAUAUGAAGCAGAAAUCAAGGAAAUGAACCAGAAAGAAGAUGAAUGGGGAUUAGAUCAAUAAAUUUACUGAGUUGUCGGUAAUGAUUACAGACAUUCAUUUCUAUGUGAAGAACUACAGAAUCAUCAGAAGGAGCAAGGUAAUGCGAGAUAAUUAUUCUCCAACAACUGGACAUGAAUGGUUCUUGGGUUUACAACAAAGAUUUACCAACGAACAAAAUGUUACUCUAGGACAACUAAACUGUUUCAGUUUGCUAGAGAAUAAUUUACGAUUAAAGCAAAGCAUAAAUUCAGCAAAAAAAAAAACGAAACGAAAUUGUACAUGGAGAAACAAAGGCCCAUGUCCAAAAGUUUGGCAAGGGAAAGACAUCCUAAUAGGAAAAUAAAUUUUUGUAGAAGCAUACAGUCUAGUGCACUCAGCAUGAGAUGAGGGCUGAAUUCAUUGAUUCGAGACUACGGCCAUCAAGUGUGUUGACUAUUGAGACGAAUCUCUAGGCAUCCAACUUGCAUGGCUGAGGUGAUAUAAAAUGAGCAUGUCAUGGAAGGUUAACUUUAGGAGUAAGAAGCUGAUAUAGCUAUAGAGUACAGAUAGUCUUAGUUGCCUUGCUUUGACCUCAAACAGUACCUAACUUAGGUUGUUUCACAGCUACUGUGCAAUAGUAUUGAGAAUCUCGCUAUGAAAGCAUGACAUGCUUGAAUCAGUGCCUAUUCGACUUGGCUUCUAGAACAGCUUUUCUACUUUAAGAAGUAGUAGCCAGAUGUUUGCCACACCAAUCUUUAUGCUUUUGCUAUGACGGAAUGCUAAUGUUAGCUUUUACGCUCCACACGCAAACACUCCAUCUUAAAGUGUCUACUUCUGCUGCAGGAGAAAACUACAAGGAAGAUUUUAGUGAAGAACUAUCAAUACUUCCUCAAGCAACUUUACUCAAAUAGCACUUCUGUAGAAGCUCAAGUGCCUAUUUGGCCUUACCUGGAGUUUCUGCAAAAGUGCUAUUUGAGUAGAGUUGUUCGAAGAAGCAUUAACAAUUUUCUCAUAACAAUACUCCCCAAAGCUUCCACCUAUUGCAAAAGCAAAAGCUUUACAUUGAAGAUUUUGCUUUUAAAGCGUAAAGCUUCUUUCAUCUCCCAGCUAUAGCAAAAUCUUUAAGCCUUUUGUUUGUCAAACGCCUAACUACUACUUCUUCGUGUAGAGAAGCUAUUCUCGAAGUCAAGUUAGACAAGCACUUAAUUAUAAAAAUAAGCAUUUAAUAUUGGUCAUACUUGAUAAGAGUUCUUAGAAAAACAAGAACCCACCACCAGCAACAAUAACUUCGCUUUUAAAUUCAAGCAAGAUGACAUACUCUUUUCCAUGGCCAGUAACAAUAACAAGAAGACCAUCACCAACUUCUUAUUUUCCUAAAGGCUAGUGAUAUUAGCAGAGCUAAGAUUGCUAUUAACUAGCAGGUUCGCUGAACCAAAUCAAGUUUAUCAUGCGACAACUGACCAGGUUCAAUGCGUGUCUAGUAAUAAAAAUACUGUCCUCCUAAUAUCACUGUUCUUUCCUAAUUAAUUCCAUCAUAUUGUUGCAAUUAGGAUCCACUUUUCCCAAGACUGUCUUCUGUCGAAUUGACAUUCAAGCUUUCUAAAAUUCUUCAUAUUAUUCUGUCGCUUUUCUAACUGAAUUAAAAUAAAGUACAAAUUCUCAUUGUUGUCCCUUUAGCUUCUCCAAUCACUAGUAUGCACACAGCUCCAAGGUCAUUUCACUCAGCAACUGCUUACUCUAGUGCCAUCACCACCGGUUGAUAGAUUGCUCCGACUUCCAAAAUCUCAUGAUAUCCAUCAUAUAUUUGAUAAUCGGAACAACGUUAGUGCAUUACCUCUUUCUCCCACCCUAACUUAACUGAUUAUUCUACUACUAGAUCUUUUACUGUUUAUCUAGUCAUGAUUAACUGGCUCGAAGGGACUUGAAUAAUUUGAUAGCAUCCUGAGACUAUUAAUUUCAGCAUUCUAAUGUAGUAGCCUACACUCUGCUAAGAAUUUGAGAAAUCCCCGUAACGCAAAAUUCAAUCUCUACUAAUCAAUAUUAUCAUUUUAAACUACACAUCAAAAUAACAAAGGAUUUCACAAGUCAACCUCUUUCCCCUUAACUUCCUGAAGGAAUUAACCUAUCACACCUGCUAUAAUUUGAUCAUUCAAACAAUCACUACAAUUAACUAACCUGUGAUCUAAGGCUAAACAUGUUUACAAGUAAUCUUUAAGAUUGGCAGUAAAAAUAAAAAGUUCCAAAAAUUCGGGUAUCUAUACCAGUAGUAAGAUCUCGCAGAUCCCAUAAACUGAUUCGAUGUCUCAGUUUCAAUCAAAACGAAACCAAAUUGUUGGAUCCAUCGAGUGAAGAGGUGAAAAUGGGAUCAAAAUUGAUAGGACCUGUAGGGGAGGACCACGCGGCGUGGAGGACGCAUCGCUCCUGGACAUUAGAGGAGAAGCCGAGGGUGAUCUUGUUGAGGUCGCCGCGGAGGACGGAGCCGUACCACACGGAGGCGGCGUCGUAGAUCGUGACCUGCCCCGCGAGGACGGCGUUGGGGGCGACGAAGGCGUCGACGGCGAUCUUUGGGACCCACUGCCCGAGCGGGAUGAUCUGCCUCUGGCCCCUGUAGUCCCACCGCACCCGAUCCCCGGAGGUCGCCGGAGAAGACGCCGGAGGAGGCGGAGACGCCGCCGGAUGAGCCGCCGCCGUCUCGGAGGAGGAGGAGAGGGGGAAGCCGCGGCUGAGGAGGGGGCGGAGGGAGGAGGGGACGGAGGCUAGGGUUUUGCGGGAGAAGCGAGCGAGAGCCGCCACCAUUUUUCUUUCUUUUUCCUCUCUCUCUCUCCUCUCUAUCUCUCUCUCUCUCUCUUGCGAUCUUCGAUUGGGGGGAAGGGGAAAGAGAGGGGUUGUUUGUGUUGGAGUUUUUGUGUGUGUGUGUGUGUGCGUGUGUGCGUGUUUGGUUGAGUUUAAACUCUCGUUGCUCUGCUUCGUGAGUUCGGGUUCCACAGCGCGAUUGCGCGAUUUGGUCGCAGUGGACGAGAGUCACGAGACCCAGUAACAAACUAUACUAGUUAUAGUAUUCUAUAAUUAAAAAUAUAUUAAUUUAGUAAUUUUUUUCUUUUUCUUUUUUUCUGUGAACCCUUAGUAAUAUUUGGUUAAAUCAUAUACAAAAAACUUCAUAAACCCCAUCUCGAUUUAUUAAAUAUUCUCUUUAAUUUUCUUUAGUUUUAACUUUGCCACGAAUUUAACGGAAAAAAAAAAUAAAUAAAGAGGAUAAUAAAAAGAGAAAAAAAUCAUAUCCUAUAUUUUUGUGAACUCUCUUUUACUUCCUAAGAUUCCCAAUGAUUCAGCAGAGAGCUCCACUCAAGAAAAAUUAGCUGACACAAACAGGCAAAAACUACUACAUAACAAGAUUACAAAAACAACCAUCGUUUAUUAGUCUCUUUAUUCCCAAGUUAAUACUAAAUUUCACAGUAAAGGCGCAUAUGUUUUCACCUGGAAUAUAUAUCAACUGAGAAUAACAAUCUUCAAAUUCAGUAUAACUACAUUUAUUUUCCCCAGAUACCAACUCAAAAUAACACAAGCUUCAACAGAUGAUUGUGAUAUUAAACCCUCGCCAUACUUUUUUUUGAGUUACUAUUCGAUAACGAGGCAACGUUCUCACUCAUAGAGUCCUUAAAAUAUCAGUUCGUCAUAUGAAUUGACUUCAAUUAUUCUCUCCUUAAAGAUCUCUAGAUUUCUACAAAAUUCAGAGCUCAAAAUGGAUACGAGUAAAUUGAGCACUAUAAAACAUAUAACACGUAUAUUUGCAAAACCAAAGAGACCUAAAUUUUCGCUUCUCUUCUACUGCGAAUAACUAGAAAAUGCCAAGUAGGAAAUAUGAUACACAUGGAGAAUAAUAACACUUGAAUGGGCCAGUUCAUCAGCUCGCGGUACUCCGGGUUCGGGAGAGAACGUUGAGUCCGGGUAGCUUCCACGCAAAGCGGUUCGAACUUGAUGUGCUGGUAUUAGUGUUGCUCUGUUCGGUGGAAGAUGAGGCUCCGUUGGAGUGUUCAGAGACAACUGGUUUCACAGAGUUCGAUCUGGAGAAGCCUGGGGGAAUUGCACUAGCCUGGAGCACCUGAAAUAAUUGAGUUCAAAUCAUGAAUUAAGAGCAACAAAAGAAAAAAAAGUUUUGUUUCUUUUGGCAUACGUAACCCCUGCAAAUAUGCAAAAUAGUGCAAUUAUCCAUCCCGAGUAAUAGUAUUUGCACAUGCACACCAUUGGAAACCGUAUUUGUCUGUAUUCAUGCCCCUACCAAGCCAUGAAUGCAAAAACUGUUAUUGUGUUAGAUACUCCUGGGCAGGGGCACGAGCAGAUAAGUUAGGCUUUUAGAGGCACACAUGCAAAAUACCAAUCACAGAUGAAUCCGAUUGAUGGCAACGCUAAAACCGUGUUCCUAAUUUGACCUGGCUUCUAGAUUUGUUAAUUGCUCGAAAGCAGAAGCAGACUUCCUAGAGCUUCUAGCGGUGGCACAAAGCCAGAAUGAGCUUCUAGAUGCAAUCGGAAGUUUAUGGGCAGAUUCGAAAGAAUGCAAAUUACAGCUUUUUCGAACAACACGGAUAUAAACCUGCCUCUUAUAAAAAUGGUGUCAUAUGUAAGCACUCUACCAUCUAAUUCGGUUUAAUCUUUUCCUAUCAAGGAGUUCAAUGAGGAAAAAUAAGAAACAGAAUGUAACAAUUGGGAUGUGGUUUACUUUUAGACCCGAAGCAGAGAUGGCUGUCAUGGUGCGCAAAACCUACAAAAGGAAAUAAAAUAUUAUUAGAUGAAAUGAAGGUGCUUAUUUAUCAGCUAUACUUCAAAAUUUAAGGAAUCCCAACCUUAGGUGUCUCAACUGAAGCUGAUGAAGAUGCUAAUGGCGAAGGUGUUUCGAGUGCUGGAGGGGGCAAAGAGCCAGCCUGUUAUGAUUGGUGAUUGACAUCACAAAGUUAGCAAGCGCACAAAAAAGUGCUUCGAAAUUGCCAAUGGAAUUUUUGCAUAUACACCCUGUGAAAUCUGAAUUUUCAUAUAUGCCCCAAGAAAAGCAAUUAUCCAUUUCGUGGGGGGAAAGUUGGUUUUUAAUUAGAAAAAACAGUUUUGUGGGGCAUUUUCCAACUACAAGGUUAUAUGUAAGACGUUAAUAUGUUAAGAUGUCUCAUUGGAAAGUAGUUCCCAGUUACCCUUGUGACUGGUGAAGACCGCGAAGAUUCAAUAGCUGGAUAGGAAGCACUGGAUGGCAAAGCCUGAAAAGAAUAAAUAGUUGAUUAGAUCUAGCCUUCUAUAGAAAAUAACAACUUUAGUAUUAAAAAUAAUGCCUUUUUAAUAACGCUUGCACAUGAACAUGCUAAUAUCCUGGAAUACAAACCUUGACGAUGAAGUAAAACAAGGUAUUUUUGCAUCUAUAUAUCAUUAAUUAAGUGUGAGGAGGAGGCAGCAAUUAUAACAAAUCAGCAUGGAGUGCUCAGAUAUUGAAUGGAUUCAUGUCCUUUCAUUAGCUAGUACGGGUUACAAGUUCAAAUUGUAGUGAUGCAGGUUUAUCCCAUGUAAUUAAGGCCUCACAGAGACCAUAAAAAAAUGGAUGAAUCUACAUUUUUUUCGACUUAAUAGAAGAAGGAAACAACAACAAGAAGUUUCAUCAACUAAAACAAAUGCUAGAACAAUAAGUUCAAAAAUAACCAAUAUGGAACAAAGCCCAAUCAAAUAUACUAAAUAAAAUGAAAACAAAUUUAGCAACGAUAACUUGCCUGAGUAGACUCUGCAUUUCGGUUUUGCUCCAAGGUAUUCGCAAACUUGCAUAAUCUGUAUAUCCCUUCUGUUGUAUAAUCCUGAUAGUUUAUUCAAAACCCUACCUAUUAGUAUACUAUAGGAUAGAAGCUGGAAGAGACCAUCAUAAUGAUAUUGCACUCAAAUACCUGACUUGACUCAAGCUCAUAAAGUUUUGUUUCCUGAGAUUAAAAAAAAGCUAAGAGUCGGCAUUAUUCUUAGAGAAAUGAGAGUUAAAUAAGGCUAAGUGCAAGAUAAUUCACCAGAUUUUGCACUACAGAAUGAACAGAUUCCAUUUCCAGAUGGAAGUUACUGAGGUCUCCAUGCAUUAAAGUGACCUAGAAAUGAGUUGAUACAGAAGAAUUUUAUUCAGGUAGUCAAAAAUGUGAAAAGAUAAAAUGCAGAAAACCCUUUUAAUUUUUCUGAUUAUCACUUUGCCGGGAUGACAUUCAGAAAACUCUACUCAACCCCAUAAACAUUUAUGCAGUUUGUCUUUGUUGCCCCUUUCCUCAUUGUUAUAUAAGAAUAUGGCUCAGUGUUCAGUGAAAAUAUGAUGCGUUUCUACUCUCAAAAUAUAUAUAUAUAUAUAUAUAUAUAUAUAUAUAUAUAUAUAUGAUGCGUUACUAUCUCUAAAAACUACCCAUGUAUCACACAAUCAGUUGAGGUCAGAAUAAUAUUUAGUAAAGAGCUUGGAAGCCUUUCUCAUCAGAUGAAGAAGCACCUACAUGGCCAAAAUACCCCAUCAUCAACAAACAGGAGAUCACAUUUGAAGACAAAAGGCUAGCAAUAACAUCGAUCCAGCCAUAGAAAACGUGUAAUGGGUAUUCCGGAACAGUCAUUAUCUGGUUUUAUAAGGUGAUUAUAAGGCAACUGAGAGAAAUGAGAUGGAAGGGGGCGAAGUAACAAACCACAUUAAUUAAGGUGUUUACUGUAUAUUUUUGAAUUUCAGGGGGCAAAAUCAUAAUUGAGAAAAUGUCAGAGUAGUUUCUGCAUUUUAAAAAUUUUAAAAAAGGUCCCUCACCUGAUCUUUGGUUUCAAUAGUGAUCUCCUUGCAUUCAUCUAAACGACAAUCGACACGAUCAAUCCUAGAAGAUAAAUGCCGCUUUGCAGCCUGCAGAAUGGAAUUUUGAUAUUAAAUAUGAAGGAAAAAGAAGGCAAUGAAGUGGGAUAAAAAAAAAAGCAACCCAUGAUAACAUUACUUUAUAGUGAUGUUUUGUCAUCAUCAAGCAUCUAAGCACAAAUUUUUAUUUGUCUUCGGAAGCCCAAUGUAACUUGUAACUAACAGGCCAAAAUAAGAACAAUUUGGAAAGUUUAUGGUCUAAAAUUAGUACAGCAUUUGAUGGAAGCAGUCCUCAAUUGAGUAAAGUAUCCUUUACAAUCUUUGUAUCAUAAACUUUAAAAGAGAAUUCCUGUUAGUGUACAGUUCAUAACUUAAUAAAACAGGAUAUCACACGAUGUAAUUUAAUUAUAGAAAAAACAUAUAUUAACCGCAGUGGAGCUCAUCAUCUAAGUAAUGAUUGGAUUAGUUUAAAAGACGGAGACAAUUAAAAAUCAAAAACCACACUAAGAACUGAAAAGAACAAAAAAACUUACAGCGAUAGAAGAAGAAACUUGCUCAAGUUGUUUGCCUACUGCAGUGCAAGCAUCAGAUAAGCCACGCCGAGUCACAAACAUCAUAUCAGAAAGCUUCCAACCCUACAACAGAUGACCAAAACCUCUGAUUAACAUGACUACAGAGACAUUUAAGAAUAUCCAGAGGAAUAUGACAGAAGUUCCACAAUAUUUAACUAGACUUUUAUACAAGAUAUACAAAUCAGCUCUAGUAAUAUAUUUUGAAUAGUUGUUUGAUAAUAAAUUUAAGGGUCCGAUUGGCCUAGUUGUGGGCUCUAGGGAGUACUGCUGCUGAAAAAGUACAGUAGUAAAUAGUGCGGUGCUGUUCUUAAAAAAAAAAAAAAAAAUUUGUAGAGCGUUUGACAGCAUUUGUUACAAAAAUAUUGUCUACUAUAGAAAGUUGUUACAUAAAAACUCUGAUAAAUUAUUACAAAAGUAAAGUAUAUUAAAUAUAUAUAAAUUUAAUUAAAUGGUCAAAUUAAUUACUUUUUAUUAAUAUUCCCUUAAUUUUUCAUGUUUUAAAUUUCAAAAGAAUUGGUCUAUUAAAUAAACAAUUUUGUCAAAAUUUUCAAAAAUUCUACAGAACUUGGUUUUUUAGCAAACAAAAUUAUGACAACUAAUAGCUAACAUUUAAUAAAAUUAUUAUCGAACAAUAAUUUUUGUUUAACUAACUGCAAUAUGAAACUAAAGAACCUAGAAGUUCAAGAGAUAUUAAUUCAAAAAAUUAAAUUAAGUAAAAAUUAACAGGAGAGACAAAGAGAGAAUUCAAAAUCAAUUUGAAAUUAAAGUUUUAACUUUAGUACAAAUUUUAAAUUUAAUAUUAAAAUCUGAUUUUAAAUCUAAAUUGAAUGUAAAAUUUGAAUUCAAAUUCACGUUUUAAAUCUGGAAUUCAAAAUCAAAUUCUGAAAAUAACUUUAAAAUUCAAACUAAAAUUUGAAUUUGAAUUUAAUAUUAAGCACAAAGUUUGAACUUGAAUGCAGAAUUGAAUUUGAAUUUAAAAUUCAAAUCCAAAAUAAAAAUUUAAAUUUAGAAUAUAAACCCAAAAUCAAAUUUAUAAGUCAACUGCAAAAUUAGAAUUUACAUUCGAAAUUCGAACUCCAGAUCAGAAUUCAAAUUUGAAAUUUGAACUAAAGACAAUCUAAUCAUAAAUUUUGAAAUUCAAUUCAAAAUGUAAUUUAACUUCAAAUUUUGAUUUUAAAUAUGAAAUUUAAAUUCUAAACCAAAUAAUAAUUAACCUACAAAAAAUAGGUUGGAGACCAAAAUAAAAAAAAAAAUGCUAAGAUUAAGGACUAAAGAUAUAAUUAAUCUUCUGCAGAAGCUCCUGUAACGGAGCUUCUGCACUUGGGUUGCAGAUUGCUGAAGGAUUGCAGAACGCACAAAAGUGUGUUCCGCCCUUCUCGCCAAAUGCCUAGUUAUAGGCUGAUCCACGUUUUGGCCCGGCAAAAGUCAGGCCAAACGGGUGAUAAGGAAACUAGUAUUCACUAAUUACUUAUAUGUAUUAAUUAAUUAUACGUAUCUGGCUCAGACUUCACUGGACCUCACAUGAUUAACAUUGAUGGCUAUAGGCUAUUUCAACCUGGGAAUUGAGAAACACAACACAAAUCCUAAUAUCUCUUUAGAUUCUCCUUGAUUGUUUUAUUAGCAUGUGUUUGCUAUAUCGCACAUCCAGCCUGGUUACAAUCAACUGAUAAAAUUAGUCUGGACAUAAUCACCUCGCUUGUUCCUUUACUAUCAAUGUUAAGUCUUGAGAUAACCUAAAUCAUUAUCCACUUUCCCGUGAAAUGUUUAAAAUAUAUUUUGUAUUGUCAAAUACAUAAUUUAAACUUAAUAAAAUCGAACUGGUAAUAAUCACCUUGCAUUGUCUCAUUUUCAUCAAUCUUGAGAUGACUUGAUCAUCCAUUUCUAUGUCACAUGAAUUUCUGUAUUUCCUUGUUCUCUCUUUAUCUCUUUAAAGCCUUACCGCCUAUAACUCUAGAAGUGGUUUAGGUCCAACUAUUAAGACAUAAGCCUUAUGUCCUAAAGUGAUUAUUGUAAAAUGCUUGCUCUUCCUUUUUCUACUUUCUAGAUUUCAAGCGAUUAUUUGAACGAGAGCUGGAAGAGCAUUUACCUUCCACCUUAUGUAUCCAUACCCAACAGCUCCAACAAUAAUCACAGCUGUUAUACGAUAUGUACCAGAACCUGCAAUAGAAUAUAUGAUAAACGAUAAAGAAUGCCACUACAAACGAUAAGGAUAAAGCAGUUCUAAAUUCAUUACUUCAUAGGGGGAAAAGCUACGCUUUAAUCGACUUCAAAAAGUGAAAUGAAUCUUAUUUUCUAAUUAUUUUCUAACAUAGCAAUAAAUCUUUGUCAAAGGAGCUGUUUCUUGCAAAACUACCCACAUCUAAAGUUGGGUACCCAUACAAUUCAUGGAAGAAAAUGGUUUGCAGUAGAAGUUUCUUAAAGGCAAUUUUUGUAAGUGACUAUUCAGAUUUUGAAAGAGCAUAUUUACAUAUACAAUCUUAUGAUUGUAAAUAUCUUCAUAAACAAACAGUACAUAACCUACACAUAAAUGAGGCCAGAAGUUGGAAACUUUUUAAUCAUAUGUCACGAACCUGUUGUGGUAGUAUUAGUAAUAAUAGUAACUUCCUUCGUUGCGAACCGUUGCAGCUCUUGCCUUAGAAUAUCGACCUGUAGAAUUUCAUAGUGCCUUAAUUCCCACAAGAGCUUGUUCAUUGAAUGAAAAAAAUAAGGAAUACAAAAUGCCUCAAAGUAUAAACAAACUAGCAGAUUAAAUCUACAUACACACACUUUGAUCUUGAAUACUAUCGGUAAACAAACGGGCUAUGUAGUUGCCGAUUUGUUUUCAAUGAUAGAGCUUCCAAAUUGAGGAUCGAUACCGUUAAACAUAAUCCAGAUCAUUUAAGUAUCUAGAAAUCAAAUUUUUCGAUAUUGUUCUGUUGUGCAUCAAGUGAAUGCAAAAAUGAAGGGCUAGAAAUAUAUAUCCUUUUAAAAUUAAUGAUAGAAUUUUUGUAUUUAAGAGGUGUAUAUCUUGUUUUAAAUAGUUUUAAAAAAAAUUUAACAAAAAUUCAACUGAUUUGGAUUCUUUUACACCGUUUAACGAGCAAACACCCUGUAUCGAUCGUUAAAAUUAUAAAUUUUGCGGCGCUUCGAUCAUUUGGCGAAUGGUGUUGGAAAAAAAAAGGGUUUAGAUGGCCCAUUAGAAGCAGAAGAAAGAAAGAGAAGAGUCAUCAGGAGCAAGAUAAUUAACCUGAGCUAGUAGAGAAUCGGUAUGCGGUUUACUGGUGGAUUGAUUGCUACCAUCUUCCUGCCGAAGGUGCUUCGAGAAUAUCUACAAUAUUCAGAAACAAAUGUAAGGGACAGAAAUAUACAUUUUGCUAAGUAAUGAAAGGCAGUUCUCAAGCAAUAGUCGGUAAGGCUAUUCCAUGUUAAAACAGUUCUAGAUGGAGUACCUUCGAAGCACCAGAAAAUAUCUUUGUUAUGUCAGACAAGCUCGCUUUAUCGCUAAGUAUGGAUCCGACAAUUCCUGCAACAAUAACCGGAAAACUGAUAUACAGUUUACAUAUAUGGGAAGUCAAAUAUUACUCCUGAGAAUUUGCAUUAUACCAUUAUUUUUUCUGGGUCCAAACAGGACAAAUAUGGUCAUCAAACAGAACAAGAAAUGAAUAUAUUGCUAAAGAAAUCUUCGAAGCAAGAAGAAAAAAUUAGACAAAUAGGUUAAAACUUGAAACAACAACUAACAUAAAUGACAGAUCUAAAAACAAUCAAAUUUACUUAAAAUCAAAGCAAAUUGAGAAUUCAUAGCCUAUCAUUGCAAGUCUGCAUCAAGAACUCAAACUCCUAGAACGCUUACAGAUAAUAAACUUUUGUUUAGGCGCAUAUAAAUCUGACUGUACUUAGUACAAUCUAAAUGUGGUAACCCAAACUAAACUUUUCUGAGCCUAUGUUCUCUAACAAGUCCAAGUGAUUGUAAAUUCAUUACUCAAUACUACUCCAGGCAGUUCACUGAAAACGCAGUAUCUACCAUAUCUGACCAGUGACCAUGACCCUAACAUAUUAUACCAUCCAAUAUUCCCUUUAAGCUCAAAAGUUCUUAGUAAUCAGCAUAAUUAGGCAAACUAUGAGUAUGUCAAAAUCAAUACAAGAAGCAUUUUUUUCAAGUACUCACUUCGUUAUCACAAAAGGCCACUUCAUCAUACUUAUCUCCUGCUCUCCUAUUCUGCUUCACAUCCAACUCAAUAUUCCGAUCUUUCAAGAAUUUUACUCAACAAAACUAAACCAAAGAAGAACACUCAGAUGUUCCACAGCUUUCAUGAUAUAUCUCACGCUCAAAUCCUAAGCAAAAACUGCUUUCUAAGCAAUCAAUACGACAGUCACAACACUUUUAAGUCGUUAAUUUCUUUUCUUUUUUUUUAACUUAAUACUCAUUCUACUUUAGUACCAACGUAUCCACCAAUUAAAACCACAUCAAAUUCAGUUUAAAUCGCAACGAAGAGAAUGUUCGCAACAGAUUGAAGCACUAGCAUACCCUAACACCAAAUAAUUCGCGGAACCCUACGAAUCGAAAAGAAACAAUAACAACAACACAGAAAAUCCUCGAACAAACACUCGGGUUUAAGAGGAUCAGAGAUCAAUGGAAGGGGAAGAGGAGAAGAACUGAAGAACCUGCUCCGAUGACGAGGGUGAGCUUCCCGAGCGCCAUGGCCGAUCGAAAACCCUAGACGAUCACGCGGGCACCACCGAUCAUCGAAUCGCUCUGGCUCCGCGAUCGAAGGUUCGAUUCGCGCGGAGAGUGCGCCUUCUAGGGUUUUGCGAGUUCUAGGGUUCGCGCUCGACCCCAACCCUUUGCGUUUUCUCCUCCACUCUCUACCCACAAGCUCUCCCCAAGUAUUCGCCAAAACGCCGUAAUAUACUCUGCUGAGUACUCAUAAAGAUGCCCAUAAUUGUGACCGUAUUUACGGAAGUGCCAUCGUAGAUACCGUAUUCGCAUACGGUGUCUCGCGUAGAAACUUUUUUUAUAUCGCGGAGUCGUGAUACGCGAUAUGUGCCGUCCGAUUGAACUAACGGACGAUUCAGAUUGGAAAAAAAUCCUAAAUGAACCGCGUGCACCGUCUUCAUUUGUGAACCGCAUACAAUCGAAAGUUAUUUGACGGCUAUGAUUGAAACCUCUGGAGAAAUAAGGGCCAGAUCAUAAGCGGUUCAUCAAUGAUACGUGAGAGGAGAAAAUUAUGUGGACCCGGUUUAUAAGUACGUUCUAUACACCACGUAGCUAACGAAAUAUGUGUUUUUAAUAUAUUUAGAAUAUAUACAUUUAUUAAAAAAUAAUAAAUUAUGGUUGUUGAUUUUUUGUGACCCUUUUACACUUUUCGUAAAAAAAUAUAUAUAUAUGCCAUUUUAUGCAAAUGCUCUUGCGACAAUUAUCAUUAAAUAAAUAAAUAUUACGUGAGGUGCAAUUUAUACACCCGGUUUAGGGAAAAAAUUCCUCCGAAGGUUCUGGGAGCAAUGUCACAACCUUUGGAUCGUAAUCAGACGGUUGAAAAUGUCGUUUCUCCUCGAUAAUUAGUGCUUAACUCUUAGCCCUUACAAUUAUUGUAAAUAAAUAAAUAAAUAAAUGUAAUAUAUAAGGAAACACCAAUUCUAAAAUUUUAAUAAAUUAAUUACUACUUGUUAUAUAUAAAAUACUGAUACAUAAUUAUUUUUCAACACUAUUUCUAUGAAAAAUCAUUUUUUUUAACUAACAAAGUAUUAAAGCUUAUCAUAAACCUCUAUAUAUUUUUUUUUUUCAUUUUCUCUAUUAUUUGUUACUCGAUCUUUUUACAACUGACUCAUCGGUAAUACUCGAAGAAAUUGGAUAAGCGAAGCUUUCCUCUUUUUAAAUCACAUUUUUAUUUAAUUAUUUAUUUAUUUAUGAAAAAAGCUUUAAAUAUAAUUUCUGUGGUUUUUCACUUUUUUAUUUUAGUAUUCUAUAACUUAAAGUGUAUCAAUUUAGUACUCGUGCCUUUAUUUUCUCUUUUUAUUAUUCCAUCUGCUAAUUUUUUUUGUUAAAUCAGUCACAGAGUUAAAAUUAAAAGAUACUUAAGUGAAUAUUCGACAAAUUUAGAUAGGAUAUCUGAAAUUUUUUGCAUAUAAUUUAACGAAAUAUUAACGGAGGAGCUGACGAAAAGAGAAAAAUGAAAGCACAGGAUACUAAAUUGAUAUAAUUUAAAUCAUACGGUACUAAAGUGAAAAAUUGCAAAUUUACAGGGGUGGUAUUUGAAAUUUACCCUUUAUUUAUAUAUAAUAAUUAAGCAAAAUGAUGGUGACACUUUUGUGGAGAAUUUUUCACCACGACAGGGAGAAAAGAUACAUACUACAUUUCUUGGGGAAGAAGAAUAUCCUUAUUACUGAUAUUUUGGGGCGGAGUUAGGUGUGUAAAUGGGUCGGAUCUGGGUUGACUUUGUAGGGAUCCAAACCAACUCCAAUUUAAAAACAACAAUUCGGGUCAAGUUGUUGGUAAUGUGGGCUGUGUAGAUUACAUAUCCGUAUUCGCAUUUAUGGGCUCUUUUAUCCUUGUUUCUCUGCUUUUGUUUUCAGUAAUAAAAAUUUCUAUAAAAUAAUUUUAAAAAUUUGAAAAAAAAGAAAAGAUUUUUCGUUACGAGAAAAGUAAAAUUGGUUCAUUUGAGACUUAGUUUGGUAUUGAGAUUUAUCUAUCGCUAUUAGAUAGAAUGAAGUUGAGGAAAAGUAUAUAGAGAUAUACUUCUGCGUUCUCACCAUAGAAAAUAUAUCGUAACCGAUUAAUCGUAAUAUGUGCAAUGCAAUACUACGUACGGAAUCAAACAGGAUAUCUUUUCAUCAUCGUUUUUCACCACGUAAUGCAAUCUCCCCGCAAUUCCAAAUGAAACUAAGUGGCUCUGAUUCUACUUCAAAGAGAGGCUGUUGAAAAUAUAUGACGCGUGCUCCUGAUUCUGCUUCAAGCAGAAGUUAUUGAAGGUAUGUAGCAUAGUUCUUCUCCUUGUUAAUAUAGAUGGGCUCUACAACUCUAUCUGGGAUUGUGUGAACGAAGCAUUACGAGAGAGUGCAAUGAAAAAUAUGGCUAAGAGCAAUUUUUAAAUUGACUAUAUUUUAUUGUCAAAAUUAUUGAAUUUUAUAAACUGAGUCAAUUAUAGUAAUAUUAUAAAUAUUACAAUUCAACAUUACAUUACUAUAUUAAAUUAAAUGUGCUAAUGCAGCAUUAAUAGUAAUCUCAUUUAUAAAUCUAAAAUAUCUGGAUACAUCAAAAUAUUCUAUAAUAUUACAUAACUUGAACGAAAUGAAUCUUAAGUUCAAUAAAACAAAUUGAUUUGGUUGUUAGGGUCUGCAAUGUUGGAUUUGGGUGGAAUCCUCUUGCUAGUCUGGUUCAUUGCCCAUUAUAUUUCUGUUCUUUUAAAUUAAUAAAUAAUAAAUGAUUUUUAGUUCUUUAUGGAUGAUUAUUUUGCUAACUCCUACUAUAUAAAAAAAUUGUGAAAAUAUUUAUCUUACAUUAAUGAAAACCUUUGAUAGAUUUUUCACCACUUUCAUGUAAAAAAAAAAAAUGCAAAAUGAAUUAUUGUACUCUUUCACUUUAUUGAUGUGUUUUCAGGUGUUAGCUCAAAAUAUUGUAACGAACUAAAAUAGUAAGAUAUCUAUAACCUAUAAUAUGUAUCACUAUAAACUAUAUAUUAAUCCUCGAUUCCUUAUACACAUGGCAUAUCUAUAACUAUAGCUAUAUUUAUGUCUAUUUUGCUCGUUCAAGAGUAAGGGUAGUAAUUAAUCCAUUUGUGUUCGGUUCGAAAUAAGCUUGAGAUCGAAUCAUUUUUUUAAUAAACGAACUGAAUACAAGUUGAAUUUUUUAGCUCAUUUAAUAAACGAGUGAAACACGAGUUGAAUUUUUUGGCUCAAUGCUUUAAUGAGCCAGCUCGUGUGGAGCACAAACCAGCCUCAGCUCGCUCAUGUUCGACCCGAUGACAACCUUAUUCAAGAGAGCUCCCGGAAAGGGUUUAAAAUAAGCUAUGUUUGUAGCUCUUUCGAUCUAAAACACUAGUGUGAAAGUGUUCUAUGAACAUAGCAUGCUCUUAAUUUAUUCUAACAUCAUUCGGUCAACACAAGAAGGAACUUUGCAAUCUUAAAACUGUUAUAGUUAUCUUCUUCUGGAUCAAAAAAGGCCUACUUAUUUGACCAAAUGUGUUUGGUUCCUAACAUGCCAAGUGGGCUAUUAUGAAUCUAUGAUUGUAAAUUAUAAUCUAAUCGUAUUACUAAUAUUGUUUGAUAAUAAUGUCCAAUCAUGAUCAUUAUCAAUUAUUUAUUACACGAUAUAGCAGAGUAUUAUCGUUGCUUGCAAUUAUUAGGCUCGUGGAGGGCGAAUUUUGAACCAAAAGUUUAUAUUUCAGUCCCUAAUUUUUAAAAAAUUUUUAAGUUGCAUUAUCUCUUGCAGUCCCAAACAACUCUAAAAAUUCAUCACAACAACACUACACCACUCUUUCUAUUUAUAUAAUCUUUAGGAAGAUCACGCAGAAUCCUAUGCAAGUAGUCCACAAGUUUAAGCAGUUGAUAAAGGAGUGGGAUUAUAUUCUCACAGCUAAACUGACACUUUGAUUUUUUUUUUUUUUAUUUAUUUUUUUGUCAAACUUUCGAGGCUCAUCUCUGUAGCCUAGUUCAUUAUUCUAAUGAAUGAAGCGAUAGUGUACUACUUUUUCCUCAAAAAAAAUACUGAAUAAACAUAUGCAACUCAUUAUAUUGCAUGGGUACAUGAAUACAUGCAGAUACAAAUUUUUUUCGAAACAAUGUAAAAUGGGGAAUAGAUUUUGUUAACUAGAUUUUGUUAAAAAAAAAUGCAAGUAUUAUAACGCCAAUAUUUAAUUUUUAUGCAAUUAUUUAUUAAUAAGUGACCCUUCCAAAUAAUACGUGGAAUCUUACCAUUUAUUUGAUUUGAAUCAAUCAACGAUAUUUUAGUUUUAAAUUUUAAAUAUGUCGCAAUUAUAAAUUUAUUAAAAUAUCGUUGACCGUCUCAAAUUAUAUAAAUUAAAACAUUAAAUAAUUAAGGCUAAAUUACAGAAAAUUCUCUUGUAAUAACCCGUUUUUUCACUUUUCCUUCCUGACAUUUAAAAACCUACACUUUUUUCCCCUGUAAAAUAAAAAAUGUGCACUUCACCCCCUACCGUUAGGGUUCCGUUAAAAAAUAUAUUUUUAUGCCGAAAGUACCCCUCCGCCAUCUCCCUAUUGCUUCGCCUCCCUCCGGCUCGCCACCUCGCCGCCGCCUCGCCGUCUCUCAGCCUAACCGCCUCGCCAUUCCCACUGCCUCGCCCUCACCCACAUCUCCUUCGCCGUCCUCCGCCGCCUCGCCUUCGCCUUCUUUGUCUUUUUUCUACUGUCACCCACCUCGGUUUUCUCCUACUGUCGUCGAAAUCGAAAGGCGGCGAGGAUGCAGGAGGAGAAAGGGAGCAAGUGGAGAAGGAAAUGGAGAGAAAUCGCGGCCGAUUGAGGUGGGAAUCGCGGCCGAACGAGGGAGCGGCUGAGGAAGAUGGGAAAGAAGAUGACAAUGGCGAGAGGCAAAAUGGUCAUUUUAUAUACCGUAACCCUUCUGUGAAUAUUUUUCAUUUUAUAGAGGGGCAAAGUGUAGGUUUCUAAAUAUCAGGAAGGAAAAGUAAAAAAACGGAUUAUUACAGGAGAUUUUCUGUAAUUUAGCCAAUAAUUAAAUACAAAAUAAUUUAACGCUUCGCUAAGUUUUGUAAGUUUUUUUCUAUUUUCGAUUUUGCCACUCCGUGUUUCAUACGCAUAAAGAGGCCCCCAAACAAAAAGUAUACGGAAGAAACAAGGCACGCCCACUUCGCUUCCAUUGACACCCAAACUACUUCGGUGUAACGCUCUAAACAGUCUUAGAGAAUUUAUUCCCUGAACCCGGUGCAACCGUACACCCUGUGCACCGCAUAUCACACAGCGUUCAUUAAUUGCAUUAUUUUCCUCUCCUCCAAUAUUCGGAGGCUAAAGUGGACCUUUAUUUUUAAAUUUUAAUUUUUAUUAUAAUUUCUCGCUUAAAUUUUUAAGAUUAUUAUAAUUAGAUUUCAGAGUCUAAUAUAGUUGACUGAUUGAAUGACACUGCGACUAUAAAAUUCAGUUAAAAAAAUUAUACUACAAAACUUAAUUAUAAUAAUUAGAAAAAUGUAUAUCAAAAUUAUAAUAAAUGAAGAUAAAAAUAUACAGAAUUUAUCUGAACCAUUUUGAAUCGGCUACCUAUUCUUUCGAAUAUUUUGAUUUUACUAUUUAAUCUUUUGAUUUAUUUAAUUUAAGUCAGUCAAAAAUACUUUUCCUUCAAAAUUUAAGUUAACUAAUUUAAUAAAUUAAUAAUUACGAGAAUUAUAUAAAUUUAUAUCGAUUAAAUCUGUAAAAAUAAAUAACGUAUUUAAAUUUAAAAAACUAAAUAUGAAGUAAAUUAAAAUUUUAAAAUGAUUGAUAAAUUCAAAUAAAUUCCAUGGUUAUGUAGAGGGUAGAUGUGGUGGGGUACACCAAAUGUACGGAUAUCUCUGGUUCAGAGAAUAAUCAUCCCAAUCAUAGCCACGGUACUAACACGUGGACUCCACUUUCGCGGGGCCCACAUGUCAUACUCAAGGAUCCGUGGCAUAUCACCGUUACACCGAAUGAAAUGCGUCGUCUUCGUCGCCUCCUCUCACACUCCCCCGGUCUAUAUAAACCCGUCGACUCAUCCCCUCCUAUCUCUCUCUACUACCUCUCUAAUGGCGAUGGCGAUGGCGAUGGCGAAGGAGCCCUUGCUCCGACUCCGCGCCGCGGCGAACGAAGCCCUAGCCGAGUACGAGCCCGUCGCGCUCGUCCUCGCCCCUCUCCUCGCGCUCCUCCUCGCCCGCGCCCUCCACUCCGCCCUCGCCGUGCUCCACGAGAAGGGGAUCCAGGGCGCCGUGCUAGGGUUUCUCAUGAGCUCCGCGAAGUAACCUCUCUCUCUCUCCCUCUCUUUCUCAUUAGAUUGGGAUAAUUAAUGGCUAAUUUGGUGGUUAAUCCUCUUUUCGAUCGGUUGGAUCAGGUUGAUUCCCGGAGUGAGCGGCUACAUCGAAUCGGAGAAGAGGAAGGUUCGUGAUCACUCGAAUCUUUUUUAGUGAAUUCGAUUGUUGUGAUUAGAGAAAUCUAAGUUACUGUGCUGUGGACCUCGCGUGCAUGAGUAGGUUAUUUUGUUCAAGUUGGUAUUGAAUGGGAAGGGGAAUAAUAGUAGUUGUUUAAAACGAAUGGAAAUAGUAGAGUUAUCUAGGAUUCUAGAUCCCUCGAUCUUUGUGCCAAAUUGAGAGAAACCUCCUCCUCCUCCUCCUCUUCUUUUAAUUGGCCAUGGCUUUUAUAGUUUGUGUCAGAGUUUGAGAAUGUACUUUUGCCCAAACAAACCCUCAUUUAUGGUUCAGAGGUCCACAGAACCAAAAAGCAUUUUAGAAACUUCCUCCUACAAUGGUAAGAAAUGGUGAUGGGAACCACCACCAGAAAAGUGAAAAUUGUGGGCCAUGCAUUUUGUUGGUAGGUGAAGAGUGUUUUUUUGCUACUGUCCAAAGUGAGGGGUAAAAAAAAAAAAAGAGGAGCUUUUGAGCCCCAAAUUAAAAGCUCUAUUUGAAAAUUUCCCCUCUACUGCAACAGGAAACUAUUCAUUCUUUUUAAAUAGCAACUGUUAUACCGAAAUUACUAUGAUACAGCUACAUCAUAAUAUUUAGAAUGGAAUUUAGCGGAGCGAGUUCAUAGCAUCCGCUUUAGCUCGCUAAAAUGGGCGCUAUAAAACAGGGCCGAAAAGGACGCUAUGAGCUCAAAAGCUUGAAAAUUGCAAACAUGUCAAAAUGUCUUAUCCUGUCGGGCUUUAAAAUUAAAUAAAAUGAUCAAAAUCCUAUAAAUAGGUUAUAGAUUUUCUGUUUUUCUUUUGUCCUUUUGGUUUGCUAAAUCAUAAUAUUUUAAAAUUAUUCUUCUAGAUAAUGAGAUUAAAUAUGCCUUGCAGUACUAGAAAGAGGUAAUGUCUAGUUAUCUUUUCUUUAAAAUCAUAUGUACUUUCUAUAAGGAAUAUAGCAUAUUAAGUAAUUUUUUGUAAAAGCCGUUAUAGGUUCGUGGCACCCGAUAUGGCGCUUGCUAUCUACUUUCUAUUAUGAGAACCCCUAAAUGCUAUAUACCCACUAUCAGCUACUUACAACCUUAAAGCUAUUGGAGAACUUUAACAAAACUAUCGGUGUUACCAGGAACAACUUUACUCAAGAAGCAACUUUGUGGAAUCAUCAACAAUGCCAUUCAGACCAUUAAAACACAUGAUUUGUUUGUAUGCCAUGCAUGCAUGUUCAAUGUAUUACACAGACUUAACUGAAUUGAAACUAAUGGAUUUCUAUUGCUGGUUUUGUACUGUUUUUGUAGCUGUUUAGUAAGUUUAUUACUUAAACACUUUGCUCUAACUACUGUUCUUGGCAUCUUCUACUAGGUUGUUGACAAGUUGCAGUCAGGAAGCAAGUCUCAAAGAGAGAACUGGAGAACCGAGUUACCGAUUGUUGGGCUUAGUGAAGGAGCAAUUCAGGAACUUAAAGAAGCAAAAGCUAAAGAUGUGGUUUGGCAAGGCAAAUGCUCUGGUACAGUGUACGUCUGCUAUUAAAAAUUUAGAAGAUCAGCAGAUGCCGCAAAAUCACCCGAUCCGUUUCCAAUAAAUUAAAUGCUCAUCAAUCUUUUCAUGCUGCAGAUAUAUUGCUGGAAAUGAGUCUGAUGGCCAUUUUGCGCUGAUAAACGAGGCAUAUUCAAUGUAAGUUGAGACAACAUGGCGCAGUCUUAAUACUUUUCAGUCCAUCACUGUGUCCCUGAUUUAAAAUUGACCAACCUGACCUAGAUUGGGUUAUAUUCAGAUUAAAAUUAGUUUUGCAAGGAAACAAAUGUGAAUAUCUGUUGGACAAUGUCAGCUAUUCAUGUUGUAUUCGAUAUUAUUAUGGUAGUUAUCAUAUCGAUUAUCUUAAUUCAGGUUUUCACACACCAAUCCGCUACACCAGGAUGUGUUCCAGAGUGUGGCACGUUUUGAGGCGGAGGUGGUUGCGAUGACAGCUGCUCUUCUUGGCAGCAAGGAAAAGACAUCUGGAGGGCAAAUUUGUGGCAACAUGACAUCAGGAGGGACAGAAAGCAUACUAUUGGCUGUUAAAACAUCUCGUGACUAUAUGAGGUCGAAGAAGGGAAUUACUAAACCAGAAAUGUGAGUCAUAAGUGGUGUUGUUUCUAUGAAAUUUAGUCUUUGCAAUUUGAUCUGAACUUCAAUUUUGUCUUUAGAAUUUCAAUCGUAACAAUCUUGAAUCCCAUUUUGAUUUCACUCUCACUGUCAAUUCGACAAUUUGGUCCCUCAUGUUUAAUCACGAUUUCCAAUUUAGUCGUUAAGGUUUCUAUUUUAAAUAAGUGAAGUCUUACAAUGUUGGUUACAUGGUGCUUUUUGCAGCUAAUAUUCCUGUAGAAAGACUAUAUUGUUAUGCAUUACAAGCUUCAGGGGCUGAUUUGUUAUAAUGAAACUAUGAGGAUGAAAGUGAGACUAGGUCAAAAUUCAGGACUAAAUUUGUAAUUAACCCUGUUCAUAUUUGUCUUGCUCUCUUGCUAAUUGGCUAACUUAACAGGAUAAUACCUGAAUCAGCACAUUCUGCAUAUGACAAGGCUGCACAAUAUUACAACAUCAAGCUGUGGCGUGUACCCGUAAACAAGAACUUUGUUGCAGACGUUAAAGGAAUAAAGCAACGCAUCAACAGAAACACCAUACUGGUAUUUUACUCGUCCUCCACUCUUGUACCACACUCCGUAUGUUUCUGUUGAUCAGGAGUGUGGUUUAAUAUCAUUAUUGCACUAUUGAUCUAAGUAAACAAGAAUUAUGGUAUAGCUUACAGUAUCAGUUUCUCAUAAAAUGGAUUAAUGAUUAGAUUUUCAACACUAACGUGCUUUUCUUGUUCCAGAUUGUUGGUUCUGCACCCGGAUUUCCACAUGGCAUUAUCGAUCCCAUAGAAGUAUGUUGAAUUGUGGACAUCCUCCAAAAAAAUUUCGACUGCGUCACGGUAUUUGUUUGUGGAGUUUUUGCCUCCUUUGUUACUUACUCGAUAGUAUGAUUUUUGCAACUUAGGAGCUUGGAGAACUGGCGUCAUCUUAUGGUAUUUGCCUGCAUGUUGAUCUUUGCCUUGGUGGCUUCGUUUUGCCAUUUGCUCGUAAGCUUGGGUAUUUAUUCUUAGCGGGAUAAUCCAUUGCAUUCGGUUACACUCAACAUCUUAUGUUUUUAUGUUCUACUCCACUUUUAUCAUUGUUGCACUUUAAUAAUAGUUGGAACCAAAUAGAAAAUAAUAAACACAUUGUAUAUGAGAUCUCAAGUGGGUUUCGUCUUCAUCUUCAAAUAAAGAGUUAAUCUGAGAGUUUCCUAGCAUGCCGGCGUGUACAUGACAUGUUUAGAAUGCUAAAUUGGUCUCAUCUUAGAACCUAGAUUAAAUGCUAACCGCAUUCUGAAUUUUCAAGUGUGGAAGUGAAGAUCAGAGCUCGAAUCAUGAGGCCACAAAAGCAAAAAUUUACUUGGGUAUAUUGAUGUCAAGUAUACCUCAUGUAACAAACCAUAACUUCUACUUAUAUUGUGAGAGGCAAUUCAUUAAGUAGUGGAUGCAAUAGUAGAUGACCUUUUAGUGUUUUGUUGACAUUUUGGUAAUGGUAUUUGUAUGCAUAUAAUGAAACAUUGUGAUCUAUUCAUUAUUCAGCGCUUUAAUUUAGUUUCAAAUUUGAAGAAGUGGAGAAGGGACAUGAAUUCAGGUUUUUGACUAGUACUAUUGAGGAAAACACAUGGCAUGUUACAGCAGAAAUGAAAGUUGACACAGCAUCAAUGGAAAAAAAAAAAAAAAAACUUGAAGAGGAAAGAGCAUUAUUUACAAGAAAGAACAGACAAAACAGUGCUGGUUGCUGAUGAGUGAACUCCAUAGCUUUAGAUUUUUAAGAACCACUUGAAUUGUUAGUUGCACUGCCAAUGUAAUGUACUCUGCACUACACACUUCAUUCUUUUCUUAUGAAGAUAUGAUGACACAUAGUGAUCUAAUUUUCGUACUAGUAGUCUAGGUCCAUUUCCAGAAUGAUUCCUAUCGGCAACAUGUGCUGUCAUAUAGAUGCUUUAAGAUAACCAGUAGUAGUUUAUUGCAUCAUUCCGUAAGUUUUGCAUUUUUACCUUCUAAUUUAUGUUUUCCCGCAAAGGCCAUACGACUGUAGUUUUAAACAGUUUGUAUUAUGCAGGUAUCCACUUCCACCUUUCGAUUUCUCUGUGAAAGGAGUUACAUCCAUUUCAACAGAUGUCCAUAAGUAUGGAUUAGCUCCUAAGGGCACGAGUAUAGUUCUUUACAGAAAUCAUGAAAUUAGAAAGGUAAAAUAUCUAUCUGCUUACGCUGAGCUAUAAAUCUCUUCCGUAGUUCGAAGGAAACAUACUGAAUUUUUUGAGGGCAUCUAAAAACUAUUUCAGAAAUUCUUUAGAUGUAGAUUAUUGAAGAUUGAAGAACUCUAUGACUUCAUUAUCGAUGGGUACUAAUUCAUUAUUCAUUUUGUUUGCUUUGCACUAUCGACUAUUGGUGAUAUCUUCAACAGCAUCAAUUUGUUGCCGGUAAGUAAUUGUCCUUUACAUGAUUUUUGAAGAAUUAUUGUUAUUAUUAUUUUUCCUUCUGUUCUGAAGCAUGCUACUUUCUGAAGGUUUUCAGUUUCAUCCAAAUUGAAAAUUGGUUGCUAGUUGGACUCAUUCGCAAAUUAGCUGAUCAAUCACUCUAUUUUCUUAAUUAGGUUAGGUAGCCUAAAAUCAAGAGAUAGUAUAGUUGGACUCAUUCACAAAUUAUCUGAUCAAUCAGUCUAUUUUCUUAAUUAGGUUAGGUAGGCUAAAAUCAACAGAUAUGAACUUUUUUAAGGCAACAGAAAGGAUGAAAACUGAAUAAAAUAAAUGCUAAGUUAUGACCUGAUGAUGAUACUCUUAUCUAGGAAAUAUUUCUUCCUUGUGGUUGACUAAUACAAAAAAACAACAACUUUGAUUGGUGUAAGGUGGUUUUUUUUUUAUUGAAAUUUUGUUUUUAUAAAAUAAAUAUCUAAUGCAACUCCUUUCUUUUUCAUUCAUGGCCUUAUCUCCUUGUUACAGUAACUGAGUGGUCAGGCGGGCUGUACGUUUCCCCUACGAUGGCAGGAAGCCGGCCUGGUGGAUUAAUCGCCGGGGCUUGGGCCGCUAUGAUGUCACUAGGCCUGAACGGUAAACAAUAACUUGUUUUUCUUUUUUUCCUUUAUUUCCAACUGAACUUGAUUAAUACAAAGUUUCACUACAAUGCUUAAAACAAAAGUUGCACCUCCCCUGUUAUCUUAUUAUUAGGAUACUUGGAAAAUACGAGACAGAUAAUGGAAGUAGCGAAGAAGAUACAGAAAGGGUAAAUUGCGACAAAAAGUUUCACUUCAUUUUCAUUUGUGAAUGAAAAACUCAAGAUGUUCUUAACAUCAGAGACCUGUCCACAGGAUAGAGGAGAUUCCACAGUUGUUUAUCGUUGGAAAACCGCACAUGACUGUGAUAGCUUUCGGCUCGAAUGUCCUCGACAUCUUUGAGGUGAACGAUAUAAUGUCGUCGAAAGGGUGGCACCUGAGUGCUUUGCAGAGACCUAACAGGUAAACCCUAGUUUUUACUACCUAUUGUUUAAUCUCGUGCGAUGCAUGACAAAGAAAAGCUAAAAAGCAAUUUCAUUUAAAAAAAUAUCUUCUUUCCCCCCACACCCCCCCCAACAUAAAAAACCUUUUCUUUUCUUCUUUUUUUUUUUUUUCUGUUUUGGAAACAUGAUACUGCUUUCAAUUUUGCAACUUAAGAUCAAUUUUCAACUUUUAGGCCAAAUUGUCCCUACGCUGUGGGGCGGAGAUGCACAAUUUCAAAUGUGCGCAGUGAUAAAAACAAUUCAUUGACGAAUGUUUUUCGAGAUUAAAUGAUAGUUUUUGUGUGCGCGCGCGCGCGCAAUAAGGUCUAUAAAGGACUAUUGGAAAACUUUAUGUAUCUAUAGAAAAUUAUAAUGCACGGUAUAAAGGAUAAAUCAAAGUAGAAUGCUACGGAGACCAUGAUUGUAGCGAACUAGAGAUUGAGAUGAAUUAAAUAAACCGAGAAUAUCGUCCGUGCACUCUGCUAAUGUUUGAUCUUUAUUGGACUACCUAAAUUUUUAUAUUUAUUCUACAUUAAUGUUAAAUUGUUUAUAACAUCUAACAAAUCACUUCUUCGCUCAGCCUUCAUAUUUGCGUGACCCUUCAACACGUUACUGUUUUCGAAGACUUCCUCAACGAUCUAAAAGAUUCUGUUAAAAUUGUAAGCGCUCUCUCUCUCUCUCUCUCUCUCUCUCUCUCUCUCUCUCGUUUUUUUUUUGUUUAAUUAUUUUCUGCAAUCCUCUUUACAUUUAUUUUGCCUCCCCUUUACUUAAUUCUCUGCGCUGUUCUAUGGCUUCUCUUUUAGGUAAAAGAGAACCCCGGCCCGAUAGACGGAGGGAUGGCUCCGAUCUACGGUGCGGCAGGGAAGAUGCCGGACCGAGGAAUGGUGCGGGAUUUGUUGGUGGAAUUCAUGGAUGGCACUUGCUAGGUGAGCUAUUGAGCUCUACACAAACAUCAUACAACACCAUCUUUUAUUCUUCAUCUCUAUUUCUGUUAACCACAUUUACAAUAAAAACAUGUGCUGAAUAUCUCCAAGUGAUUUCUAUUUAUUCACUCCCUGUGUUAGCAUAUAACCGAAUGGGUAUAAAAUUGUAACAUGUUGUACAUGUUAAUCUGUGUAUUUUCAUUUCUACUCCUGUUGCCACAUUUACAAUAAACAUAUGCUGAAUAGCUUUUAGUGAUUUCUAUUUGUUUACUCCCGUGUUAGCAUAUAGUCAAAUGGGCAUAGAUUGUAACGUGUCGUACAUGAUGAUCUGUGUAUCUGCGCUGCUUGACUUGUUUAUACAAUGGUAAAUGCAAUUUCAUAUCCGUGCUGAUGAAUCCCAUUGAGUGGUUUUAUGUCCUUGGAUGUUUCUGUGUUGAAAUUUAAUGCUAAACUUAAUUCUCUGUUCGUAUGGUAAUGCAAUUUCAUAUCUGUGCUGUUGUGUGUCCUUGAAUGUUUCAGUGUUGAAACUUACGACUAAACUUAAUUCUCUAUUCGAAUGUUACCUUACAAUCCCCAUAAGCUUUUGGAUUGUACUUCUAGAAUCGGGAUCCAAUAACCACUACUGGAUGUGAGUAGGGAUGCAAACGGAUCUGGAUUGGUGGAGCUCACACGCCAAUCCGCCCCGAAUUGGGCAGUAAACGAGAGAAAAUAAACUGAAACAAGAAUAAUUUUAUGAUCCGAGAUGAAUUUGGGAAGAAAUUUUGACCCGUCCCGAAUCCGUCCCGAAAACUAUUUAUAUUUUAAAAAAAUAUUCCUAAAAAAUAAUAUAUUUACAAACAAGGUUUAAAAUACAAAUAAUUUAUUGCUUUCAUUUUUCAUGUAUUUAAAAUUUUUGAAUUUUAUUUUGAAUUGUGAUUAACAUUUUUAAUUUUUAUAAUUGAUAUUAUUAAUUAUAUAUAUAAUAUUAUUAAAAAUUAUUAUUUUAUAUUUUAUAAAAUAUUAAUAAUAUUAUAAUUUUAUAAAAAAUAUUAGUUCGUGGGGCAGAUUCGGAAACCGGCGGGAGGCAGGUUACGAGGCGGGGCGGAUUAUGGAAUAUAACUUUUAAUCCGUCACGAAUUCGAGACGGGAGGUGGGGCGGAAGGCGGGACAGGGCUCUUACCCCCAGAUCCGUCCCGUUUUGUAUCCCUAGAUGUGAGUUGAAUUGGUCGUUCGAUGGAGCCACAGAAGUUUAAGCAAUUGGAUUAUUCUACGAGGAUCCAUGCCCAACAAUCUGGGUAAUAGGAAAGUCGGACUGUUUGGGCUUGUUCGGCUUCGAUAAAGGCUUUUUUAAAAGUGUUAUUUGAUUAAAACUAUUUUAAAAAGUAUAGAGUAUAUUUUCAUUAGAAUUAUCUAACGGCUUCAUAUUACUGCAGUAAGUGGUGUCAAUAUCUUAUUUACCGUGGGGUACAUUAAAAUUACCAAUUUUUGAGCUAUACGAAUAUUAGACAAAUAGUGUUGAAAAUUAUAAAAUUUAAUUUUUAAAAAUUUUAAAUAAUCUAAUUCAUGUUAUGGUAUUGUACUCCGAUUUGGAUAUUUUAAAUAACACGGGAAUAAACAGCUCUGCUCUUUUUUCCAUUGUUGCUUAACUCAAUAUAUUAGUACGUGUAAGUCUAAGGAAAAUUUUUUUUUCUUAUGGUAAACUUGAAUUUGCCCCCUUAUAAUGAGCGUCUCUUCACUUUACCAAUCUUUAGUUUAAAAAUGUUGCACUUAAUUAUUCUAUAAUAUAGUAUAUUUUUACAUUUUUAUUUUCUAAUUUAAAAGAUAUACUUAACUAUCUUAUAAUUUUAUUAUUUUUAUUUUACUAUAAAAAUCUACUACCAAAUAGGAUACUAUUCUAUACUUUUUUAAAAAAAUUAUUUUAUUAUUCUAUUUGAGAUUGAUUUUUUUCGUUGAAACAAAAGUAAAAUUAUAAAAUAAUUAAAUGUUAUUUUUUAAAUUAUGGAAUAUCAAAAUAUAAAUAAGCUAUGCCACGGAGUAAAGAUUUGGCCUUUCUCUUAUUAAGGCUUAGUUUGAUAUUGAUAUCUAUCUAACGCUAUUAGAUAAAAUAAAAUGAAGUUGAGAAAAAAAAAAGUAGGAAUAUAUUUCUGUAUUCUCCGAUAGGACCGUAGAAAAUAUAUCAUAACCAACUCAUCGUGAUAUAUGAAAAAUAAUAUUAUGUACGGAAACAAACAGAAUAUUUUUCUAACGUACUUUCUCACCGCACGUAACAUAAUCUCCCCGCAAUCCCAAACAAAGGCUAAACCCUGUUCAUCCUUUUCUUCAAGAGUAUCCAAUUACCCAACAACGACGACCCCAACCCCGAGUCAGGUUUAAACUUUAAACCCCAUGCUGAUGCGGUGGACCACUGUUUAGUGUUCACCCUGUCUCUCUCUGCCACUAUUCAGCGCUGUGGCCACUUUCUCUCUCUACCCGUGAGUGUUUUUUUUUUUUUUUUUUUUUUUUUUUUUUUUUUUUUUAGUGAACUUCGAAUAUUACUUCUAUAAUUUCGUAAUUUCUCACUUUAAUACUAUAUGAUUUAAAGUAUAUUAAGUUAGUAUUAUGUAAUUUUAUUUUUAUCUUUUCGUCAGCUUUUUCGUUAAUAUUUUAUUAAAUUAUAUACAAAAAAAUUUCAGAUACCGUACAUAGGUUUAUCGAAUAUUCACUUUAGUAUUCUUUAGCCUUAAUUUUGUCACUGAUUUAACGAAAAAUAUUAAUAAAAUUGAUAAUAAAAAAAUAAAAAUGAAACCAUAUAUCAUUAAAUUGAUACAUUUUAAACCACAGGUACUAAAGUGAUAAAGUGCGAAAGCACAAGGUGGUAUUUGAAGUUUUUUUUUUU
This 53478-nucleotide long non-coding RNA is filed under the name Ananas comosus (pineapple). RNAcentral's name for it is "long non-coding RNA (ACOM_LNC028715)". Lineage: Eukaryota; Viridiplantae; Streptophyta; Magnoliopsida; Poales; Bromeliaceae. The record is from RNAcentral.